This 63664-nucleotide long non-coding RNA is filed under the name Triticum aestivum (bread wheat). RNAcentral describes it as "long non-coding RNA (TAES_LNC015452)". The record is from RNAcentral. Lineage: Eukaryota; Viridiplantae; Streptophyta; Magnoliopsida; Poales; Poaceae.
CAAAAUGUUAAAGAACAUGAUAGUAAGACAACCUUAAUUAAGAUGGGAAGAGGGUUUUGAGAGGGACUAAAGAUACACGAGAGAUUGAAGUUGUGAAGAUUGACAUGCUAAUAAUCCUCAUGAGAAGUAGUUUAUUUAUAUCUUGAAGAUAUGUUGCAGCGGUGCCCUAAAGAUUAAUGACUAUAUAGUUUUGUUUUCUGAUUAAUAUGAGAGUCUCAACAUGUAACUCCAACUGUAGAGAACAAGAUAUAUGGUACUCUCUUUUUAUUUUUAGUGAACAAAUGUUUCAGUUUGGUGGGAGGGUGGAGGAGGCGGGCGCGGCCGCCACAAUGUUUAGUGAAGAAUGUUUGCGGCAUUCCUUAUCACAUUCUUCAGGCGUGCGAUAGCAAUAGUAUUUGGGAUCCGCAAAACAACACCAACAAUAGCCAUCAUUGCAUUUUGGAAUUAUUCUAGGUGGUCCGCACAAUCCAUAUGGUAGAUUGAUCUUCCUGUUACCUAUGUCUUCGAUACUCCCACCUAGAGAAUAUAAACAAAUUAGAGCAACAUAUAUAUAUAUAUAUAUAUAUAUAUAUAUAUAUAUAUAUAUAUAUAUAUAUAUUAUGGGUGCAACUAUAUAUAGAACUAUUCCAUAAAUGUUUAUUUAAUCAACAAACAAAAAAAGGAAAAUAUGAAACAACAACGAAUAAAUGGCAAUUUUGCUAAUAGCAUAGCCAUUUUUCAAUAUACAUGAAAAAAUAUUAGACAUAACUCAUGAUAAUACAAAACUAAACAAUGUAAGUAUACAGAAACAAAUUUUCAUCAUAUAUCGUGUUACUUACAUUGAACAUGAGCACCAAAGCAAACAAGGAGAAGUAUCGAGAGUGGCACUAGUAGGGGCACACGUUCCGUGUACUUCUCCAUGCACAUAGACUUGAAUUACUUUAAACAAUCAGUGCUUUUGGAGGCCCAAUAUGUGUGUGCUAAUCCAAGAAUUAGCUGGCGAUUGCUAGCCACAGCGUUCAUUCUUAUAUAUAGAGGCGUAACAAAAUAUUUGUCAGGAAUGGAGCCAAUUAGUUAUCAUUUAUAAUUUUCUAAGUAAAUCAAAGUUGGUGAUGAACAAUAAAUCUCAGGCUCCUAAUUUUGGGGCGCAUUGGUGGCCCAAAGUUUAAAAGACUACCCAAGAAACGCUCGCAAAUGCACAUUUAAUUUCUAAAUGUAAUUACACAUUUAGUAACCUAACAUUGCUCCAUACGGAAACCAUAUCCACGCAGAAGAUACACUUACGAACUACUUCAAAUGCAAAGGAAAUCCAAACUGUACAUCCAUACGGUGGACAUUAAACAAUCGCAUAUCGAUGGCCAUGCUUACAAUACACUAAAGAAUUUAAGGCCCACAUUGCUGCACCCACCAUUUUCGCUCUAGAAUAUUAUGCAAAUAUAUGGACAUUUAAUAACCUAGAAUUGCUCCAUAAAUAGAACAUAUCCAUGGAGAAGAUUUUUCUGUCUGUCCAAUUUUUGCUUCGUAUGUUACGCAAAUACAUGGAUAUUUAAUAACCUAAUAUCGCUCCAUAAAAUAAACCAUAUCCAUGGAGAAGACUGAUAUAUCCAUCCAUUUUCGUUUUCUAAUAUUUGGGAUUGAUGCAAAUAAAUGGAGGCAGUUUACUUUAUAAUAAAGUAGCAAACUUGCACGUUCUUUACAAUAGGAAAAACAAAUCCUUGCACACGAUCUUGUAAUUUGUGAGCGCGCUGCUAUUGAUGAUAUAAUCGCCCUGACGUUUAGAUGUGCAUGCACUUGCGCUUUGUGCUUUACUAUGGAUGAAGCGCCAGACUCAAGUCCUCCUCCCGAGUCGAGCGAGGUGGGCUUCUACAGUUCUACCUGGGGCACAGGCUUUAAGCAAAGUCCUUGACAAAAAAGUCAGUGGCUAGAAAAAUGCAUAUGUAGUGCAAAUGAUAUUUUUGAAAGGUCCAGCAUUGUUGGCAUUCAUUGAUUUAGGAGGAGAGAAAAUAAAACAUUGUUGAUGAAGUGAUCGAAGGAAGAAACAAGAGAAGGGAAAGAGAUAGAAUGAAAAUGCCUGUAGGCAGAGCAACUACUCUAUAUCUCAAAGUGAAUCCCAAAGGGGCUCUCCAAUUUUUUUCCUCCUACAAGCCUCUAUAGCUCAAGCGUUGAUCUUAUCGACUUUAUCACAUCCUCGUUUGAUGGAUGGUUCCCCAGAAGAAACAGUUGUUGCGCUCCUACCAUAUCUCCGAGGCAAUAAUGAUGAUCAUAGACUUGAUUCUUCUUCUUGCACGGCGCGGUGCGCUGCAAUUGAUGAUGGAAGAGGUUGCCUUUGUUGUUGUUUUUUCAUUUGCCAAAAUUUUCCUGCGUGAGUGCACCACACCCAUUCCAGCUCGUGUCUGGUUCUAAAUGGCCACUGACGCACUACAACCCCAGAAGAGAUGGAAGGAGGACUCGAGAUUCCCGAUGCAUAGGUGGCAGAAGUAUCCAUUGACCCAACCGCGUCAUUGCAAACAGUCGUUGCACCAUCACUACUAGGGAAAAGCCUAGCAGCAGCGCGGCUUUUCGACCUUUUAGUAGCGCGGGGGCCGGCGCUACUAAUAAGGCGCUACAGCUAACGUAUAGCAGUAGCGCUGGUCCACCCGCGCUACUACUACAAAAGUGUUGCAGCAGCGCGCUUAAAGGAACCUCGCUGCUGGUAAUAGCUAUAGCGCGCUUCCCCUGUGCGCGCUACUGCUACAACCGCGCUGCUGCUAACUUUUGUCCACUCGCUACUGCUAAUUUUAGUAGUUUUUUGUUUUUUUUCCGGCAUAUUUGUUUUGUAUUUGAACAGGCUUUAUAGAAGAAUCUUUAGCACAUACAAAUGUCAUCAUGAUACACAUACAAAUGCCUGCGAGACCACAAAUGUAAUCAUAGCAUAUACAUACAAAUAGUCUCGUCAUAAUCAUCAUCCAACACAAAGUGGUAUCUUGUCAUCAUCUCGAAAAUAGCGAUACAUGCAAGUCUUGAAUACUUGCAACUACAACGUCAUCCAUCUAAACAAAGGUAUACGCAAGAUGAGCUAUCACUUAUGAGUGAGAGCGGAACUAUGCAGUACAUGAGAUGACGGUUACGAGUCCUCUCUCGCGCUAGCGUGAACCUCAAGUAACUAGCUUCUCCUUCUUGUCUGCUUUUGAAGCCUUUAUGGCUGGCGUCCGAGAACCCAUUCACUUGCGCCUGACACUCAUGCCACUCGUUGUACAUCCCCGGAACCUUCCCUUUGUACACGACAUAGCAGUUCCAUCUCGCCAUCAAGAAACUAGGUACCUGUUAGAGAUGCAUGUUCAUGAAGAGGAUGUACAAUCAUAUAUAUGCAACAAAAUAUACUAGAGAACACCGAAAAAGAAAGGGUUAGCAACUAGAUGCAACAUACAGUACGCAAAUUAAUUAACUAGAGGUACGCAGGUCAUCGUACGCAAACUAACAAAGUAGCGUUACGCAAGUUCGGCAGGGAUCAUGGACAUCACAAAGUUGCAUCGCUACAAAUAGUAUACAAGUUCAACCGACACAUAUCAUCAUCAUCGGCAUCAUAAAUCACUAGAAGUUCCAUCCUUCCGUAUCAUCGAGGAUGGACCCUAGCUUCUUGAACGGCGUGAGGUCUAGACGUUGCAUGCCUAUGCGAGUUCGGACGUCAGCUCGCGAUAUAGGGCCGUGGUGGAACAUCCCCUUCUCAUCGACGACUUCUUUCAUGAUGAUCAUCGCAAUGUCGCUUUGGAUGCGAAAGAAGUCAUCUCUAAGUUUAUAAUCCGCUUCUCCAUGAGAUUCUAGCCACUUGUGGAUAUGAUAAUCAUUUCUGCUUCUCAUGCGAAGCUUUUGGUGAUCCGUGUUGAACUGAAUCAUGAGAUGGAGGAUGUAUAAUCCAUCCUUCUUGCUUUGUUUUGGGACUUGGAUGCAGGAGAAGUUAGUUUUAUGCGCGCAACCCAUCUUCUUGUUCCUUUGUUUCCUGAUCUGCAUGUGGCCACCUCUAAAGUUGAAGCCUUGGAGAGCAUCAUCUAGAAUAUUCAUUAUGUGGGUGCAGUCUUUUUUCUCGUAGUCUCUGGAAGGGUCAAAAUACACGGCGUGGGAGACUUGCGGAUAAAGAACGAUAAGGACGGCGCGCCCGUUGCUGCGGGGAAAAGACACCUCAAAUUAUUCCCCAUAGAGAGAGAAGGAAUGAUUGAAAUGUAUGACAAGGUUGUUCGAAACUGACUUACUUUGGAUGAUAAGGCACGAGGACAAUUUCCCGGUCCUUAUUCUGUACCAUGAAGUUUUGGAGGUAGUCCCUAGCAGUUUCACGCUCAAAGUCGCCGAGACUCAAGAAAGACUCGUGCAUGUAGUACGGAUCCGCCACACAGAUUUGUGAGACUUCUUCACUGUUCAUGACAGAGCUCAUAUGUAGCGCAAAAAGGCGGACGAUCGUAAAAUCGAGCUUCCUUGUCAGAAACAUCUCAAAGAUAUGGUCAAACCGCAGGAAGAACACCUCCGCGGGCCGUGUCUCGACGUAGCACUUCCCCUCAGGCACACGAGCCGCGUAUGUCGGAUAUCCUGGAUCCUUUGAGGCUAGUAGGCUUUUCUCAGUCAACAGCACAUGGUCGUGCAGUCUCCUGAGAUCCCCUGAUAGUGCCUCCAGCGGUUUCAGCGGUAGCAUCGGCUUGCCCGUGAGAUGGAACAUGGCCGCACCUUUCACGGGUACACGCCGUUCAGAAUGCAUCGUUUGGCUGCUAUGUGCUCUGGCUUGUUUGGAGGCAGCUAUCUUCCCCGAUCUCUUUCUCUCCUUUUUCUUGGGCACACCUUAUAGACCGUUCCUUAACCCCUGCCCUAGUGUUCCGGGGCUAAGUACUGUACGACCCUCGCGCUGGGAUAGUUGAGCCUGUGUUGAGGCGGCAUCUUCAAGCGUGUCCUGUGAGGAUUUCAUGAAGAGAGACUUUUUGCAAUCCCUGUUACGACCUUCCUGCCCGGGCAUAUCAUCCAUAUCCUCAUUAGCAAGCUGAUAGCCCGAUUCGUCAUAUGGUUGACUCAUCAAUUCUAUGUCACAGUCAUACGCAUUUGUAUUGAGGAAAUCCAUAGGGUCGACCUCCGUCUCAUCAUCCAUUCUCUGUUCUACAGGACAAAUUACAUCAGCCAGCACUAUUGCACCCCCUUCAUCAUGUCGUCCGCUGCUCUCACCCAGCACUACAGGAGCUGGUAAUUGCGUAGGCGGGGUGGUGGUCUCCGCACAUGCUUGUUGAUGUGUGGUUAUUAGUGUGAUCUCGGCCGGCUCCAGACGAAUAAGAUUCUUCGGCCAUAGCAGCACCCAACCCUUGCAGCUUCCAAUCCACGGCGGGGUCUCAUCUUCCGCUCCCACAUGCUGUACUGGAGGAGGCAAGGGGUCCAUUAUCAUCCCCUUUCCCACAUCCACCUUCUGGCCUUUGAUCAAGUAGAGUAUGGUGCACGGGGUUUCUUUCGCCUGCAAACACAUAUGUCUGUGGCGUAAAACAUCCGAAAGGCAAAAAAAUGGAAUAUUAUAUAUAUAUAUAUGGUGGUGCGACAUGUAAUUACCGUGAUGGUGUCGAGCUCAGCCAAAAACGAAGGCCCACCGAGCGCGCCAGAGACUGAGGACGGGCUACUAUGAGCGGGAGCGGCUGUGAGAGGAGGCCCGGUUGCGUGGGCAAGUGAUGGUGCGAUGAUGUUGUUGUUCAUGGAGUUGCUCCCGUUGAAACUGGGCAACGGGAAAUCAUGUACCGUCUUGUCUGGAUUUUCCUUCGUCCAGUUGAUGAUAACUGGAACCAAGUUAGUAGUGAAAUCAUUUCUGCAGGCAGUUACAGCUGCAUUGACUGCCUGCUGUAACAACUCAUAUUUGUCCUCGGCUGCUUUUUUCGCGUCCUCAGCUGCUUUUUUCUCGACCGCAAGCUUCAUCUUCGCGUCAAUGUCCGCCUGACUAAACUUCUUUUUCUUCUUCUUGGCCUCCGGGCCCUCGUUGUAAAACACCUUCCACGUGGCGCCAUCUCCAGCGCCGUGCACACGACCAUAUUGCGGCCGCUGGCCCAAAGGGAGUCCCUUAAGUUCGUUCAAGGCCCGGUUGAGAGGGGUGUCCCACUUGGGCCUCAUCGGAGAAGUAGGGUUUUCGGCUGCAAGCUGGUGUUGCUUCUCCAGUAGUCUAAUCAAUUUCCUCGUGAUCUUGUCUGUGUAAAAAACCUUUUUCUCCUUGUCCCACUUGUAGCGGGCCCUGAUGAAGUCAUGCUCCAAGGGGUUGGUGAACUUCGUGAAGGGGUCUGGGAGACCCACGGCUUCAUGUUUCGCGUCCUCCUUAUCCCAUAUGGGCCUUUUACCGAGGUAGCUACGGCUUCCGAGGCGAUGCUUCCCCGUGUUCCUUUGCUAAAGGCUCUUGAAUUUCGAGCCUUAGCCUUGGCGUCCUCGGUAGCGCAAGUGUCCUUGAACUUUUCGAACUCCUCUUCCGUAAGUGUCGUAUUUUCCUCCAGAAUCUUGGACAGGGGUUCCUAAGCCUCAAUAGCUCGUUUUACCCUCGAUUUCCAGGAGGCCAAAUCAUUGUUGAACAUACCCAUGGCGUGAUUGUUAAUCUUUUUCAUCUUCGGAUCAUCCCACAGUUGUUCUAUGUUAUCAUCCCGAUCGGGGAACUUGAAUCUCUUGUGCAACUUCGUUAGGAGCAACUGCGUCAAAUGUUCUUUACUCCUUAAGUCAUCGUCAUUGAUGCUCGUGCAUUCCCGUAGGAUGCAUCCUACUUGGUUCCCAUAGCACUUGCGAGGUUCUUCCGGCUCUAACGGCUCAAACUUGCCAGGUGCCAUCUUUGUGAUCACAAGUCGUCCAAUCCCUAGUUUGUUAGGUUUUCGUAUCCUCUGCUUUUUAUGCCUCUUUUCGGUACCGGCAUCGGCGCCAGUAUCUUCCCCGGCGGUACCUUCCCCACCGGUCUCGGCGCCGCCAUCGGUGCCGGCACCAUCGGUGUCGGUGUCGGCAUCAGUACCAUCAUCGAGGCGGACCUGCAAACCUUGCUUAGCAGUCAAAAAGUCGAGGUAGUCUUGUUCACCCUCAUAAUCCAUCUCGUCUGCAUCUUGGUCAGAAGGCCCAGUUUCUUCGUUAUUCGACAUGUUUCCUAUGAUUAAGUGUCCUCAUUUAUUUCUAAAAGUAUGAAUAAAUGAGAAAUGAGAUAAAAAAGAAAUCUAUGUGCCAGCACUCGAUAUGCCAACUAUGUAGCACAAAUCAUGCCUUUAUUCACGGGAAAUUUCGGCAUGACCUUUGUAAAAAAUGGACAUAUCGAGCGCCUGAAAUUCACCGGAACGGAAAUGAAUCAACAUUCCGGCGUAACAUAGGCAACUCGGAUCAUUUACCAAAACAUGACAUAUCCACAUAUCACAUGUCCAGUUCAAAUUUGCAUAUAAAUUCAGCAAAUUUUGAAACCUAUCUAAAUUCAUAACUAAAUAGAUAACCUAAUUAACAUAACUAAAACCUAAGUAAAUUAACCCUAGCUAGCAGAGAGAGAGAGAGNNNNNNNNNNNNNNNNNNNNNNNNNNNNNNNNNNNNNNNNNNNNNNNNNNNNNNNNNNNNNNNNNNNNNNNNNNNNNNNNNNNNNNNNNNNNNNNNNNNNNNNNNNNNNNNNNNNNNNNNNNNNNNNNNNNNNNNNNNNNNNNNNNNNNNNNNNNNNNNNNNNNNNNNNNNNNNNNNNNNNNNNNNNNNNNNNNNNNNNNNNNNNNNNNNNNNNNNNNNNNNNNNNNNNNNNNNNNNNNNNNNNNNNNNNNNNNNNNNNNNNNNNNNNNNNNNNNNNNNNNNNNNNNNNNNNNNNNNNNNNNNNNNNNNNNNNNNNNNNNNNNNNNNNNNNNNNNNNNNNNNNNNNNNNNNNNNNNNNNNNNNNNNNNNNNNNNNNNNNNNNNNNNNNNNNNNNNNNNNNNNNNNNNNNNNNNNNNNNNNNNNNNNNNNNNNNNNNNNNNNNNNNNNNNNNNNNNNNNNNNNNNNNNNNNNNNNNNNNNNNNNNNNNNNNNNNNNNNNNNNNNNNNNNNNNNNNNNNNNNNNNNNNNNNNNNNNNNNNNNNNNNNNNNNNNNNNNNNNNNNNNNNNNNNNNNNNNNNNNNNNNNNNNNNNNNNNNNNNNNNNNNNNNNNNNNNNNNNNNNNNNNNNNNNNNNNNNGGGCGAGCGCGCCGGGGUCGGGGGCGAGCGCGCCAAGGUCGGGGGCGGGCGCGGCGGUGCGACGGGGCCGGGGAAGAGAGAGUGGGGAUUUGGGGGAAAAGAGGCGGGAUGAAGCAGGGAGAGGGAGAAUUUUGGGUUAAGUGGACGUAGCAGUAGCGCGUUUACACGAAACGUGCUACUACUAUUACGAGCAGCUAUAGCGAUUUUCUGCAGAAACCGCUACUGCUACCUUGACUAGCUGUAGCUCUUUUUCACUAAAGCGCUACUGCUAUAACCAGUUUCCCUUUUUCUUUUCCUCGGCAUAAUAGGAACAUAUAUAUUACAUCAUUGGUCCCUUGCAUAAUAAUGGCUAAGUGUGUAUACAAAAUAGGAACAUAUAUAUAUUACAUCAUUGGACCCAUGCAUAAUAAUGGCUAAUUAAGUGUGUAUACAAAAUAGGAACAUGUAUUUGCAUUUUGCAAAAGCAUGAAAUAUUAAUCACACCUCUAUCUCGAGAUCGAGCACACGGUGGAGAUGAUGAUGUAGGGAGGUCAAAAGUGCACAAAACUCUUCUUGACAAAGAAAGAUCUAGUUAGGGGGCAAAUAGGUCACUUAACUAAACGCUACAUCUACCUAGCUAGCUAAUUUGGGAGGAGACAACUUCAACUAGUGGAGGGGGGAGGAAAAAGAGAAAGGAGAUGAAUUAAUGGAGGUGGUGUAGUUAUAGCUAGGAGUAAUGAAGAGAGAGAAAGGUAGGUAGAAGAGGGAGAGUAAUGGGGGAAGAAGUAUUGAGGAAGAAGAAGAGUGAAAGAGGGCCAAUGUGGGAGGUAGGGGAAAGGGAGGAGAGGAGAUGGGGAGGGGAGGUGGAAAAGGUGGUGGGUGCUGCGUCUUAGCAGUAGCGCGGGAGAGAAAGCGCGCUGCUGCUAAGAGCGUAGCAACAACGCGCUUUCCUGUCACGCGCUACUGCUAAAUGGGCCAACCCUGUGCACAAUUUCAAAAUUAGCAGCAGCGAGGUGACAAAAAAGCACGCUGCUACUAUGCCAUUAGCAGCAGCGCGCUCCCUGGCGCCGCGCUACUGGUAAACUUAUGUCGUUGUAUACUGUCGGUGGAUUUUUGUAGCAGCGCGGUUUAAGAGUCACGCGCUACUGCUAUGUUUGCACCAGUAGCGAGAUUUCCGUAGCCGCGCUGCUACUACUUAGCAGCAGUGCCUGUUUUUAUGUCGCGCUGCUGCUAAGAUUCUGUGUAUAAGGUUUUCCCUAGUAGUGGCGGUUUUGGUGGAGGAGUCAUGAGAAGAUCUUUGCCUUUCCCGGUGCCCAUGCCUUCUAGAGCAUGGAUCGGGGAUUGAUGUUCCUUGCUUGUGGGAAUUGCAGUAGGUAGGCUGAAGCAGUAGAGUACUCUCUUGGGGCUGUGGAAUUCCAUCUAAUAGCGCCAGGCACCCUGUCCUCUAAAUUGAUCUUAGCUGCGCUGGUCAAACAUGAUAGGUGGAUGAAAUCUUGGACAAUCAUCAUGGUGUUAUCGCGUCUUAGAUCUCUGAUCUAGGUUCCAUGCAACAUUGCAGUGGCGACAGUCAGGUUCUUCCGCUGCGAGUGAUCGAAGAGUGCGAGUAAAGCAGCACAGAGUGGGCGAACGCCGAUCCACGAGGAGUGCCAGAUGGUUGCAGUCUUGUUGGCGUCGACAGUUACUGACGUGGCCGUGAAGAGGGAGCGGUCCGCGUCAUCGUAGGGGGGAGGUGUGCCAGCCAGGGCCUUUGUCUGCAAUCUAGAUGUCUCUGUGUCAUCUCUUCUAAAAGUAGGAGGACGUCUCCUCGUGGCUAAAAGUUUCUUCUUUUAAUAGAUACUAGGGAAAGAGCCGUGCGUUGCAAAGGGAGAGAAAUAACACACGUUUUUUUAUUAAUACAUGUGUUGUCGCUUAUCGUCCCCACCCUCGCUGGCGGUGGUCUCAGUGCUCACAGAACCAUAACGCGUUUGAAUGUCGUCAACCCAAAGGCGUCUCUCUCUCUUUCUCUCUCUCUCUCUCUCUCUCUCUCUCUCUCUCUCUCUCUCGCGCGCGCGCGCUCGGUCAGAAGAAGAUGAGAAAUCUGUUGUUUUUCUCAUGCGAUGUUUUUUAUAGGUGUGCAUGUGUGGUUAUUGAUGUUUUCUUUUGUGUCAAUCUGGUUCUAGUGGCUAUUUAUUUGCAAUCCGGAUCGCCGCCAGUGCAAAAGAAAAAUAGACCGUGUGCUAUAGAUUAAGUUGCACCUAAAAUAAUAUUUGAAAAAUAUUUACCAUGUAAAAUGAUAUACUAUUCAGAUUCUACACAUUUUUCUCAUCAAAUUUCAUAUAUAGCAUUUUAAAAUAGGAGUUAUGGUAUAAAAGAUAAGGAUUAUUUGGAAAAGCAUUCGUUUUAGAUGGAUCGCAGAUUGAUUAACCAUAGAUUAAUUUUGCACACACAAAAAUUAAAAACACUUAACAGGUAAAACUAUAUCUUAUUCAGAUUCUAUACAUCUUUUAAUCAAAUUUCAUAUGUAACAUGUUAAAAUCGGAGUUAAGGUUUAAAAGAUAUGGAUAAUUUAGAAAAACAUUUGUAUUUGGUGGACUGCAGAUUGAUUAACAAAAAAAUAUCGGGUUUUCUAUUAAAACAUGAAAAACGAUUUGUUUGACUUACAUAUUGAUGGUGGGUUAAUUACCUCAAAAGUCCGGAGAUUUUCUGAAAAAACUGUAAAAGGGGUUAAUUCACAUAAAAUGUAGGGUGUUUUUUUGUGAAAUAGAUGAUGGAAGGGCAGAGGCUGCUGGGUGCUCCACACCCCUAUAUGAAUAUUAAACGUAAAAAAACUAAUAAAAAUAAAAAUUGGGGAAAUCAAACCUAGGUUCUUAAUCUACUCCCGGGUGAAGUUUUGUGAAAAAAUACCAGUAAUCGUAUCCAUGGUGAAGGAAAUACUGUCCGAAAAAAUCUAUCAAAACAGUUUUUUUCUAUACAUAGGAAAAUUUUGUCUUUUUUCCACAAAUACGUUUCCUGGUAAUUUUUUCACGAAAUUUCACAGGGGAGUAGAUCGGGAACCUAGGUUUGAUAUCCGAAAAUCCCAGAUUUUUUUCAAACUUAUCGGUAUUUUUCUGAAUUUGAUGUUCGUAUAGGGGUGUGGAGCACCCAGGUGCAACAAAUCCUCUUCCCUUUAUUAGUAGGUAUUGACACUACUAUUUAAACUGCAAAAAGUCUUACAUCAUUGAAAAUAUUCAAGAUGAAACAAAGUGAUGUCAGUUUCUCUGAAGUUUUAAUAAAUAUUAGUAUUUCUUAUAAAAAGGAAGUACCAUCGUAUUCAGGGAACCUAGGAUAGUUGUCAUCAUCCUCUUCUUCUUCAUUCUCUUCUAUUAGAACCCCUCUUUCUCUGUUAUUUGUCCAACAGUUAUAACCGGACAUGAAACCGGACAUAUGCAGGUGGAUAUGACGGACUUUGGAGCUAGAGUAAUUCCUAUCAUUCUUACAGACACCACAUGGACAACACAUAAAACCAUCCCACUCGUUUGCCUCAGCCGCAUGCAGAAAACUAUGCACGACAUUAAAGAACUAGGGAGAGGGUCGGUCAUCGUACAUCCAUUGCCGACUCGUCUCCAUUACACAACACCGAAAAGACCAAAUUAAUACAAGUUCAUACAUAAAGUUAAUACACACUUAUUCUCAUAAAACAACAUACAAUCAUCUAGCUAAAGCGUUUAAAUGCAACAACAAAUGCUAUCAAAAUCGCAACUAAGGUAAUAAUUGAUCCAACAGCAUAAUGAUACCAAGCCUCUUUAUUAACGACAUAUUUUCUAGUCUUUCUAAUGUUCAAGCGCAUUGCAUCCAUCUUGAUCUUGCGAUCAUCGACGACAUCGGCAACAUACAACACCAAUUCCAUCUUCUCUUCUUCAAUUCUUUUUCAUUUUUUUUAAAAUACUCAUUUUUUCAACUAAAUUUAACUUCUCAACAAGAGGGUUGGUUGCAAUUUCCGGUUCACAAAACUCCUAGAUAAAAAUAUCUAUGUCAACUUGAUGGGCAUAAUUGUCAUAAACAUGAAAUGCAACAAAUAGUUGUAAAAGAUAUUAUACCACAUCCGAAUCAUAAACUGAACGAGGGUCGACGGGGACGGAUAUCAAAACCAUGGCACUACGUAUAACAAACAAUCAUACAAGUAAGAAAAUUAUACAAGCAACUAUCUAAAUCAUACAAAUUUGUUUUUUUCACAAAAAAGAUAAGAACAAGAGCCUCACCAAGGUGGUGCUGCUGACGGGACGGCGCGGGCGAUCGACGACGGUGAGGACGGGAAGGCACUAGGUAAACCACACCUACACAUAUGCAAACUAAGAUGUUAAUUGGAGCUCAAAUUGCAUAUAAAUCAAAUAAACUCCCACAUAAUUACUCCCAAACUAAAACCCAUAAAUGACUAUACUUAUAGAGCAUGAAACGAGCUAAAUUAGCAAUGAGAGAUGAAAGGACAAAGUUACUAACCUUUUAAACACUUGAAAAGAUGGGGUGCCUCAAAUCUUGACAAAUCUUGGCAACAAUGGAGGAUGAGCUCGAGCUAGGGGGACUAGAGGUCACAAAUGAACCGGGACUAGAGGUGGCCAUGGCAUCGUCUGCCCCUAGCCGUUGGAACCGGGACUAGUGGUCCCAUUAGUCCCGGUCCAAAACCCGGUCGGGACUAAUGCUACAGAUGAAAGGCAUGUUUUCUACUAGUGACAACACACACACACAAAAAUUACGCCGACUAAAAACAAAGUCAUAUAAUACAAAAAUUAUCCCUAAGCGUAGGAAGAAAAAGAAAAACGAAAAGUAAUGAUGAUAUACAACAGUGACCAUCCAUUCCAACAAUCUUUUACAACACAAAGACCACAAGAAGUAUUAUUAAAAAGUGAUACCUGCGGGAGGGAAGCGACGUACAAGGCUGCCAUCGCUAGAUCUAACCACCAACGGUCAGAUCAUGGGUUUUUACUUUGAAGAUCAAAUCUGAGAAAAAAUCGAGCUAGGUUUAAGGAAAACUACCUAGUCGGUAUUUCGUUGCAAAAAUCGCCGCGUUUCUAAUAAACUUUUUGUGGAAAGCACUGAUGGCUCACCUUGCUGCAUUUAAUCGCAUGUCCGAUAGGUGGGGCCAGCUCGUUAGGAGCUGACUUAGGCAAAAAUUCGCCACAUAUGCGCAUUGACUGAGUUUUCAUCCUUCUCCUUUCCCCUUCUAUCACACAUUUGAUCAAACACAUGGUGUAUGUUUUUUCGAUAAAGGGUGGAUUUUAUUAACUCAAAAUGAAGCAUCAAGAAGAUACAAACACGAUGAGCAUACACCCAUCCUCUGCAUAGUUAGAAUGCACACAGCCAACACCAACGCACACACACAAAAACACACCGGCAAAUAGCAAAGUCAUAUAAGACCAAAGCUAUGCGUAUAGACGAGGAAAAAAGAAAAAAAACCAAAGCAAUCCAAUACUUGAUGGACAAACUAUAAUAAUGACCAUAUCUGCACCGACCAUCUCAUGACACCACACGGACGACGAUGUUCUUCAACAACAACACCUUCAGGAGGUAAGCAACACUCGAAUGUCACUGUCACCGGAUCGAGCCACCCAGGACUACAAUCUAAGGUUUUCACCUAGAAGAAUCAGUCCAGGAGUCCUAGAUUAGGGGGUCUCCGGACAGCUGGACUAUAUCCUUUGGCCGGACUGUGGGACUAUGAAGAUACGAGAUUGAAGACUCCGUCCCGUGUCCAGAUGGGACUUUACUUGGCGUGGAAGGCAAGCUAGGCAAUACGGAUAUGGAUAUCCCCUCCUUUGUAACCGACCUUGUGUAACCGUAGCCCCCUCCGGUGUCUAUAUAAACCGGAGGGUUUUAGUCCGUAGGACAACAUACAAUCAUACCAUAUGCUAGCUUCUAGGGUUUAGCCUCUUCGAUCUCGUGGUAGAUCAACUCUUGUACUACUCAUAUUAUCAAGAAUAAUCAAGCAGGACGUAGGGUUUUACCUCCAUCAAGAGGGCCCGAACCUGGGUAAAACAUUGUGUCCCCUGCCUCCUGUUACCAUCCGCCUUAGAUGCACAGUUCGGGACCCCCUACCCGAGAUCCGCCGGUUUUGGCACCGACAUUGGUGCUUUCAUUGAGAGGUCCUCUGUGUUAUCGCCGUUAGGCUUGAUGGCUCCUUCGAUCAUCGAUGGCGAUGCAGUCCAGGGUGAGACUUUUCUCCCCAGAAAGGUCUUUGUAUUCGGCGGCUUCGCACAGCGGGCCAACUCGCUUGGCCAUUUGGAGCAGAUCGAGAGUCACGCCCCUGGCCACCAGGUCAGGUUUGGAAGCUUAAACUACACGGCCGACAUCCGCGGAGACUUGAUCUUCGACAUAUUCGAGCCCCUGCCGAGUGCGCCGCACGGUCACGAUGAGCAUGAUUUAGCUCUGCUGUCGGACAGUGUUCAGGAGAUCGCACCGGCAACUGCUUCGACCCUCAAUUUGGAGCCAAUUGCGCCAUCCACGGACGGGUGGAUAGACCCCGCCUCGAAGGCCGUACUCUCAGCGGCGAUCGAGCUGAGUAUCGACCUUACCCUUCACGGGAGCCGUGACGCCGAACUACCUGAUUCUUCCCCGGCCACGGACUCCGAACCGCCUGCGCCCGUGCCUAUCGAAUCUGACUGGGCGCCGAUCGUGGAGUUCACCUCCGCGGAUAUCUUUCAGCACUCGCCCUUUGGCGACAUACUGAACUAACUAAGGUCUCUCUCCCUGUCAGGAGAGUUCUGGCCGAACUAUGUUCGGCAGGAUUGGGAUGCGGAUGACGAAGAAAUUCGCCGCCCACCCACCACCCACUUAGUAGCCACUGUCGAUAAUUUGACUGACAUGCUCGACUUCGACUCCGAAGACAUCGACGGUAUGGACGACGAUGCGGGAGACGAAGAAGAACCACUACCCACAGGGCACUGGAUAGCCUUCUCAUCAUAUGAUAUAUACAUGGUGGACACACCCAAAGAAGGCAAUGGCGAUGAGACAGCGGGGGAUGACCCCUCCAUGAAGCAACCCAAGCGCCGAUGUCAGUGGCGCCGCUCUAAGUCUCGCCAAAGCAAAAGCGGUGACACCAGCACAUGAGAUAAUAGCACUCCGGACAGUGCCGAAGACAACAACAACCCCCUCCAGCAAGAUUUAGAGCAGGAGGAUGGAGAAGCCAGCCAUCCUGAGAGAGCGGCAGAUGGAGAGGCGGAGGAUGAUAAUUACAUGCCUCCCUCCGAAGAUGAGGCAAGCCUCGACGACGACGAAUUUUUCAUGCCGGAGGAUCCCGCCAAACAAGAGCGCUUUAAGCGCAGGCUUAUAGCCACGACAAAUAGCCUUAAGUAAAGCAGCAGCAACUCCAAGCUGAUGAAGAUUUGCUAGCUGACAGAUGGACCGAAGUCCUUGCGGCCGAGGAAUAUGAACUCGAGCGCCCCUCCAAGAGUUACCCAAAGUGCAGGUUGCUACCCCGACUAGAGGAGGAAGCAUUAAAACCUACAUCUCCAGCAUAUGAUGCGGCUGAUCGGCCACCUCAUGGCCGCGACAGAGAGGCAUUUCAACCAAAAACUCAGCCCGCACCCCGACGCCACUCAAUUAAAAAUGACAAGGCACGGGGAAACAUGCUAGACCCGCGAGACGUAUUGGAGGACAAAGCAAAACACACAAGAUCGAUCUACAGAUCACGAGGGCGCGCCACUACGCGACACGAUAACCGUCAUGCCGGAUACAGUAAAAGUCAAUUCGGCCGGGCCGAACACAGCGGACAAGAAUCAUUCGAGCUGCAUCGCGACAUAGCCCACUACAGACGCGCCACACACCCCAUAUGCUUCACAGACGAAGUAAUGGAUCACCAAAUCCCAGAGGGUUUCAAACCCGUAAAUAUCGAAUCAUACGUCGGCACAACAGAUCCUGCGGUAUGGAUCAAGGACUUCCUCCUGCACAUCCACAUGGCCCGCAGUGACGAUCUACAUGCCAUCAAAUACCUCCCACUCAAGCUCAAAGGACCAGCUCGGCAUUGGCUCAACGGCCUGCCAGCAGAAUCCAUUGGCUGUUGGGAAGAUCUGGAAGCCGCAUUCCUCGACAACUUCCAAGGCACUUAUGUGCGGCCACCAGAUGCCGAUGACUUGAGCCACUUGAUUCAGCAGCCAAAGGAAUCGGCCAGGCAAUUCUGGACACGGUUCCUGACAAAGAAAAAUAAAAUCGUCGACUGUCCGGAUGUAGAGGCCCUAGCAGCAUUUAAGGACAACAUCCGUGACGAGUGGCUCGCCCGGCACCUUGGCCAGGAAAAUCCGAAAUCUAUGGCAGCCCUCACGACACUCAUGACCCGCUUUUGCGCGGGAGAAGACAGCUGGCUGGCUCGCAGCAAUAACAUAUCAAAGAACCACGGUACUUCAGAUACCAAGGAUAGCAAUGGCAGGUCACGUCACAACAAACAUAAGCGCUGCGGUAAUAGCGACAAUACCGAGGACACGACAAUCAAUGCCGGAUUCAGAGGCUCUAAACCCGGUCAGCGGAAAAAGCCAUUCAAAAGAAGCACUCCAAGCUCGUCUAGUUUGAACCGUAUACUCGAUCGCUCGUGCCAAAUACAUGGCACCCCUGACAAGCCAGCCAACCACACCAACAGGGAAUGUUGGGUGUUCAAGCAGGCCGGCAAGUUAAACGCCGAAAACAAAGACAAGAGGAUACAUAGAGAUGACGAGGAAGAGCCCCGGCAGCUGAACACCGGAGGACAGAAGAGGUUCCCCCCACAAGUGCGGACGGUGAACAUGAUAUACGCAACCCAUAUCCCCAAGAGGGAGCGGAAGCGUGCGUUAAGGGACGUAUAUGCAUUGGAGCCAGUCGCCCCAAAGUUCAACCCAUGGUCCUCCUGUCCGAUCACCUCGAUCGCAGGGACCACCCCACUAGUAUCCAUCAUGGCGGAUUCGCCGCACUGGUCCUAGACCCAAUCAUCAACGGAUUUCACCUCACUCGAGUCCUUAUGGAUGGUGGCAGCAGCCUGAACCUGCUUUAUCAUGACACAGUGCGCAAAAUUGGUAUCGACCACUCAAGGAUCAAACCCACAAGAACGACCUUUAACGGCGUCAUACCAGGUGUAGAGGCCCAUUGCACAGGCUCAGUCACACUGGAAGUGGUCUUCGGAUCCCCAGAUAACUUCCGAAGCGAGGAGUUAAUCUUCGAUAUAGUCCCGUUCUGCAGUGGCUAUCAUGCACUGCUCGGGCGAACCGCAUUCGCGAGAUUCAACGCAGUACCGCACUAUGCAUAUCUCAAGCUCAAGAUGCCAGGACCUUGAGGGGUCAUCAAAGUCAAUGGAAACACAGAGCACUCUCUCCGCACGGAGGAGCACACUGCGGCCCUCGCAGCAGAAGCGCAAAGCAGCCUCUUAAGGCAAUCCACCAGUUCGGCGAUUCAAGACCCGGACACCUUCAAGCGCGCCCGGAGUAAUCGACAACAAGACCGCCUGGCACGUUCUGAGCUCGCAUAGCAAUGCGGCCCCCACCCUAGUCCCAGCCAAAUGGCGAAAUCCGUGCCACACGUGCAUAAUUACACAUUGAAAAUACCAUGCGCACAGGCGGGGAGGGGGGCCCGACUACGGCACGCCCCAAGAUGCGGCUCAACUGCACUAGGGGUUUCCCGCUCUAUUAUUUUUCUCUCUUUUAGGACAUUAAUAUCUGAAAACCCCAUCCGGCAGUACGAUUGCCAGACACACGAUGCAACAACCAAGGAGGCAGAAAGCUACGUUGCACCACGGAACUCCCAGGUGGUCUCUGUUAACGAGUGAAAUACCUGCUUUAAAUUACAUUCCUCAGCUUGCCGUUGGAGGGGACAUGUCAAAUAGUCCUACUUUUUUGCUUAUCGCACUACUUGUAUCAUUCUGCUUCGACGCACCCUUUUUGAAUAAACAAUGCAUAGCACUAGACUAUUACCACAUUCUCUAUUCUUUUUUUAUAUAUAUGUUCAUUCAUGACAUUCAGCACCCGUACACUCUGGUAUGGCCAAUACGCCAGGGGCUUAAGCAUACCCCAUAAUACGGCGUGAGAAGUUCGAACACUUUCGACAGUGCGGCACCCCGAACUUAUAGCAUUAUAUGCAUCAGCUCUGAAUCAUGUCUUGGGUCAAUAGUUGGGUUUGCCCGGCUCCCAUGUUUUGGUACCUUGCGUUUCGCUAUAUCGGCUAAGGUAGCACUGGGAGAACUACUGCGAUUGUGCCCUGGUUUAGCUGGGCUAAGCACCUCAGUAGAGAAAGCUAAAACUGACUGUCAAGAUAAGGCGAGAGCCGGUCGCUGUUCGAGAGGUAUCGAGUCCCUAAAGACUUAUGCCACUUAGAUCGAGGAGUCGGCUUUCUCCGGCUUAAGGCGUGUAUGGAGCCUCGAAUUCGGCCUUCUGAAUACCAGGGGCUUCGCCAAAAUUUAAAAUUGUAGACUUCUAUGGCUAAAUGAGAGUGAUAAAUCAUUAUAGUCCGAUUGCCUUGUUCGUUGCGCUGAGCACCUCCCUCGAAGGACCCAACAAUGGGAACAAGAGUGCUUAGAUUCAUCCCGAACACCCCAGCACUCGUGGCAUGGGGGCAGAAGCCGACGACUAGCCGUCUCUCGGAUUUAAUAAACAGUUGCACAGAAGGUAAUAUUUUGAAUUCAAACAAGUGUUGCAUAGCACAUAUGAACAAGUUUUUAUAAUGCAGGAUCACACGAGCGAGUUCAUUCAAAUAUUACAUCCUUCACACACUCGUCCGCCACAAGACGGGAACCCUUCAAGACACCCUCAUAAUACAUUUCGGGGUGGCGAUGCUCCUUGCCCUGCGGUGGCUCCUCCUUCACCAGCUUCUCGGCGUCCAUCUUGGCCCAGUGCACCUUUGCACGGGCAAAAGCCCGGCGGGCACCUUCGAUACAGACAGACCGCUUGAUGACUUCCAGUUCUGGGCUGGUAUCCACAAGCCUCCUCACCAGGCCGAAGUAGCUGUUGGGAAGGGAGUCACCAGGCUACAUCCGGACUAUAAAGCCCCUCAUGGCCUGUUCGGCCGCCUUGUGCAGCUCGACCAGUUGCUUCAGCUGGUCGCUCAUAAGCACCGGGUGUUCGGUCCCAGUAUACUGAGACCAGAACAACUUCUCCGUCGAGCUUCCCUCCUCGGCCUGGCAAUACUUUGCGGCAUCUGACACGCUGUGGGGCAAAUCUGCGAAUGCUCCUGGAGAGCUCCGGACAAGUAAUUUACUUUCACACGCUUGCUUUGCAUAUUGAAUGCCUUACCCGCCGCUAUCUUCCUCAUCGCCUCAAUUUCCUGGAGGGCCUUUUGGGCUUCGGGCUUGGCAUGCUUGGUGUUCUCGAGGGCCGCGGCAAGCUCGGACUCUCGCGUCUUCGAGUCAAGCUCCAAAGUCUUGUGUUUCUUCACAAGAGCCUGGAGCUCUUGCUGCUGCUCGCCCACCCGUGCCUCUUGUCUCUCUCGCUCGGUGCGCUCCUUGGCCGCUUUGUUUUCGGCCUCGAACAACGCUUGCUUCAGGGUUGCCACUUCGGUCAUGGCCCCUGACACAUUCUGUAACGCCCUCGAUGCGGCUAUAUCUCCCACUUGUCGAAGCACGACUUAAAGGCAUAACCGCAUUGAAAGCAAUGUAGCAAGUGAGGUAAUCUUCACACAACCCAUGUAAUACAUAAGGGAAAGCGAUACAUAGCUGGCUUACACUCACCACUUCACACAAUUACAUGAAUAAAGCAUUACAUCAACCAGUUACAAACAAGGUCCGGCUACGGAACCAAAAUAGAAGAAGACUACCCCAAAUGCUACACAGAUCCCCGAUCGACCCCAACUGGGCUCCACUACUGAUCAACUAGAACGAAACAACUCAAAGGACAAGAUCUUCAUCGAGCUCCUCCUUGAGCUUGGUUGCGUCACCUGCUCGGUAACAUCGGCACCUGCAAACUAGUUUUGGAAGUAUCUGUGCGUCACGGGGACUCAGCAAUCAAACACCCUCGCGAUCAAGACUAUUUAAGCGUAUGGGUAAGGUAAAAGGUAUGAGGUGGAGCUGCAGCAAGCGACUAGCAUAUAUGGUGGCUAACAUGUACGCAAAAGAGAGCGAGAAGAGAAGGCAAAGCACGAUCGUGAAACUAUGAUCAAGAAGUGAUCCUAGAACAACCUACGUCAAGCAUAACUCCAACACCGUGUUCACUUUCCGGACUCCGCCGGAAAGAUACCAUCACGGUAACACACGCGGUUGAUGUAUUUUAAUUAAGGUCAACUUCAGGUUUUCUACAACCGGACACUAACAAAUUCCCAUCUGCCCAUAAUUGCGGGCGCAACUUUCGAAAGUUCAAAACCCCGCAGGGGUGUCCCAACUUAGCCCAUCACAAGCUCUCACGGUCAACGAAGGAUAUUCCUUCUAGCGGGAAGACCCGAUCAGACUCGGAAUCCCGGUUACAAGACAUUUCGACAAUGGUAAAACAAGACCAGCAAAGCCACCCGAAUGUGCCGACAAAUCCUGAUAGGAGCUGCACAUAUCUCGUUCUCAGGGCACACCGGAUUGUCCAAACUUCCGGUAGGCCAUCCCAGAGUUGUCCCUAGUGGCCACCGGCGGCUGACAAGGUGGACCAACACUCAGAGGAGCACUGGCCCGGGGGGGUUAAAAUAAUGAUGACCCUCGAGAGCGCGACUCCCAAGGGAAAAGAAAAGGCUAGGUGGCGAAUGGUUAAACCAAGGUUGGGCCUUGCUGGAGGAGUUUUAUUCAAAGCGAACUGUCAAGGGGCUCCCAUUAUAACCCAACCGCGUAAGGAACGCAAAAUCCGGGAACAUAACACCGAUAUGACGGAAACUAGGGCGGCAAGAGUGGAACAAAACACCAGGCAUAAGGCCGAGCCUUCCACCCUUUACCAAGUGUAUAGAUGCAUUAAUUAGAUAAGAGAUAUUGUGAUAUCCCAACAAGUAAACAUGUUCCAACAAGGAACAACAUCUCCAUGUUCCAACAAGGAACAAACUUCAAUCUUCACCUACAACUAACAACGCUAUAAGAGAGGCUGAGCAAAGCGGUAACAUAGCCAAACAACGGUUUGCUAGGACAAGGUGGGUUAGAGGCUUGGUUUAACAAUAUGGGAGGCAUGAUAAGCAAGUGGUAGGUAUCGCAUCAUAGGCAUAGCAAAAGAGCGAGCAUCUAGCAAGCAAAGAUAGAAGUGAUUUCGAGGGUAUGGUCAUCUUGCCUGAAAUCCCGCAAGGAAGAAGAACGAGUCCAUGAAGAAGACAAACGGACGUAGACGAACGGGUCCUCACAAACGCGACGUUACCGGAACCAACCCAAAGAAGCAAACACCGGAAAUAAGCACACAACAUAGUAAACAACCAACACAUGAACAUGGUAUGAUAUGCGGGAUGCGGUAUGUGAUGCAUAUGCAUGAUUUGGAAAGGAAUGAUUGAACCUGGACUCAACUUGGAAAUCCAAGAGUGCCACUGGAAAGGCGAGGUGAUUUCGGUUGAAAACGAUAUAAAGAUCACCGGAAUCGGAUGCACGGUUUGGAAAUGGCAAGCAAAACAAAUAUGGCACCGGUCUGCGAUAAUCAGCAAGUAGCCAACUAAAUGCAUCAAGAUAAAUAUCCUACAGCACACAAAGAUGGCAACAAAAUACAUGGCAGGGAUCCACUCACGAUGCUUGACAAAAGAUGAACACUGAGCUACGGCUAAUUCACUCAUUAACAGGUCCAAACAAGCAUGGCAAAAGAGCAAAUGAUAACAGGUUUCGGACUUUGUGAAAUUAACACAAGUCUGGAAUUUAUCAUCAGGAAGCACACUUUAGAGCAUAAAAAAUACAUGCUACAGGAACUUAACAUGGCAAGGCAAGGCAUGGAAUGAAGCUACUCAAAGCACUUAACAAAAGUUCCUUAGUGACCUUGAGCCAAAAGGGAUCAGAAAAUACAAUUGCAAGCAUGUGAACAUGGCAAAAACAUAAACAGAUCUCAGACUUUGUGAAAAACUGGAGCAUGCAAAUCAGUUAAUGAGUAGGCAUGUUUACGAGCUCGAUGCACUCACUACAGAGCAUGGCAUGACAAACUAAGCAUACAUCCAUCAAAAAUACAUGGCAUAGAAGCUAGGCAUGGCAAGAAGAACAACAUAGCAUGCACGGAUCAAUAGCAACAUCCUCGGCAAAAUCGCUAAUCAUGUCAACAAUCUGCUAGGAUUCACAAUAUAGCAAAAGUAGAGCUCGAUUGACUCAAGCUAGGGUGCUCCACAAAUGCAAACAAAGACAUGGAUGGAUAGAGCCCCACAAUGUUAGCAAAACAUCCUUACUGAUCAUCCUCAAAAGAGGCACGGAUCAUUAGGAAACAACAUGAACAUAUGGCAUAACCACAAAAUCAGGACAAGGACUUAGUGAAAUUCAAAGUCCCUGAAAUCAGCAUUACCGAUUACGCUACUUUGCAAGCUUGUGAUAGUCACCAAAAGUAUCACAAAAAUACAUGGCAUACACCCCUGUAAAGAUGGCAUGGCAUAUAACAAAACACAAGUAGAGCUCAACAUCAUAUCAUGCACACAUUAAUCAUGGUAAAAAUGACAAAAUGCCAUUUGCUAAAACAGAUCUGACAAAUUCAUCACAUAGCCCUCUUCCAACAGCAUUUCAGGCAUCAAGAUUAGCUCAAAUGAAAAUGAUGCAAUGAGACGAAAUGAUGUACUCGUCGAGACGAACAUUUUGACAUAAAAUGCGUGCAAAACGGAGUUACGAGCAGGAAGUUACGCUAGGUCAAACUAGUGCACAUAAGAUGAAAAUUCUGGGACUUAUGAAAAUUCUGGGACUUAGUGAAAAACUACCAGCGCGAAACUGGAUCCAAGUCGGGGAUAGCUCGUUCUCUGCUACAGGAUGGCGCCGGCGGAAGUCAACGGCGAUGGCGUGGAGGCGUGGAACUCCGGUGAGCAUCGGGAAGGCCGUGAAUGGGUAGAUCGGGCGCGGGGCAACCCAUUCCCGGCGAAGGGGCGGCUUGGGGCGGCGCGAGCACGUAGAUCGGGGCGGCCAUGGUGUUCCUGCGAGGUUCAUGGAGAGAGAGCUCGUGAGGGAGAGAGAGCUCGUGAGGGAGAGCGAGAGCAGAGGAGAAAAAGGGAAGGGAGAGGCACGUGGCCGGCCUACUGGAGGUCUCCCGCGAGAUCCCGGCGGAGCUCCGGCGAGCGGCGGUGGAGAAGACGACCGGCGACGGGCUGGAUCGGGAGGCGAAGCAGGCGCGCUCAGGCGCGCGGGAUCGGGCCCUGGACGGCCUGGGACGGGCUCCCCAUGGGCCGCGCGGGCCGGCGGCGGAGGAGAGGGCUGCAGGGCGCGUGGCACGCUGUGAGUGGCUGCGGGCGGCGGCGCGGACGUGUCCGGCGCGGCGCGCACAUGUCCGGUGGCGCGAUGAGGAGGGAGACUAGGGUUUGUACCGCGAAUUUCAGGAGGGGAGCACAUAUUUAUAGGUAGGGGGAGCUAGGAGAGUCCAAAUGAGGUGCGGUUUUCGUCCACGCGAUCGUGAUCGAAUGCUCUAGAUGAUGGAGAGGGUUUUGGUGGGUUUUGGGCCACUUUGGAAGGGUGUUGGGCUGCAACACUCACGAGGCAUUUUCGGUCCCUCGGUUAACCGUUGGAGUAUCAAACGAAGUCCAAAUGGCACGAAACUUGACAGGCGGUCUACCGGUAUUAAACCAAGGACGCAUGACAAGUCUCGGUCCAAUCCGAAAACGUUUAACACCCGCACACGAAAAGAGGUAGAAAGGGACACCGGGUGACAUAGGAGCGCCGGAUUGCAAAACGGACAACGGGGAAAAUGCUCGGAUGCAUGAGACGAGCAUGUAUGCAAAUGAAAUGCACAUGAUGACAUGAUAUGAGAUGCAUGACACGUAAGCAAUGACAAGGCAACAAUAGCGAAUAACUGGAGGACACCUGGCACAUCGGUCUCGGGGCGUUACACAUUCAUGAUGAUCCUGUCAGUUCGCAACCACAUUUUCUUUUUUAUAUAGACAAGGUAUUACUCACCCUUGUUCUCCUCGAGCUGCCUCUUGGCAAGGCCGAGCUCUUUCUCAAACCCCUCGAAGUCCCGCUUCAGUGCGACGACCUCCGCAGUCAGUGCGGCAGAGGUCAGCAGCGAAGCCUGCAUACGCAUACAGACAUACUUAUAUUAGACUCCUGCAGAUAUUAUUGAUUCUCUAUUCGGCUUUUCUUUGUGAACACCAAACAGAGCAUCAGGGUCUACUGUCUAUGCGGUAAUAUUUUUCCUAUAUUUUAAAUACUUACCUCAAAGCCUGUUAGAAGGCUGGCACAGGCUUCAGUCAUCCGCUCUUGGUGGACUGAACCUUCUUGAUCAUCGCACUCAUAAUAGUGCGGUGCUCUUCGUUGAUGGAAGCGCCGCGAAGCGCUCCCAGCAGGUCGUCCGGUGCCUCUGGUUGGACAGAGGUCACCGGCACGGACGGCUUGCCCUUCUUGGAGGGGGGCCGCCUGCCCGAGUCCGGAACCACUGGAGGUUCCGGCGCGGUGUUCGGCUGAGGGCCGAACUUGGAGCCCGUGGGAGCCUUGCUCCCUUUGCUCUUGCAGUCCGGAAGGUCGCCUUGAGGCGCCGCCGGGACUGUCUCCCCCCGGCCCGGUGCCCGUUGAGACAGUACCUCGGCAUUGUCCAUAGGGCAACGAGAGGUGGCGGUUGGAAGUGUAUCACUGUCCAUGUCCGACGGGUCCAAGGAUCCGUCCGACGAUGAUACGUCAAUACGGGCUUGGGGCGGACUGCAUAAUCAUAUUCGACGUUAGGAGAAGCAGUGCAACAAAACUAUGCUAUUAGUUACUCUGGUAUCUGAAUACUUACGACUUCGCUAGGGGCUUGGACCUGAGCAGCCACUCGUCUUCGCCGUCAGCGGCGAUGGUGGAACAGUCCGGAAGGAGAGUCCUUCCCUUCUUGGACCCUUCAGCCUCCCCGGUUGGGGCGGCCUUCCUUUUCUUGUCUCCCCCGACUGGAGGGGGAGAGUCUUCAUCUUCCAUCUCCUCAUUUUCAUGGGAGGAGUGCGUCUCGGAGUUAUCGGACGAUGAGUCUGAUACCACCUGGCGCCGGGAACUCUUUCGAGUUCCCUUGGCCUUCUUCUUGGUCUUAUCCGGCACCUCAUAAGGAGCCAGAGUCCGCAUCUCCGUCAGGAGGGCCUCCGCAGGGUCUUCGGGCAGAGGGGUCGGACAGUUGAUCUGCUCCGAUGUCUCCACCUAGUCCUGUCAAAGGCAUGGGAGCUCAGACCCCGCACAUGGUUAAGCUAUGGGAAAUAAAUACCCUGCUAGAUGUACAGAACUUACCGGAUUCGCAUGGCGCUUCGCGCUUAGCCCGCGGUCCUCGGUAAGAGAAGGAGGGACCUUGGCACCCUUGAACAGCACCUUCCAGACGUCCUUAUGCGUCGUGUCGAAGAGCUCAUGUAGAGUCUGGUGCUGGGCCAGGUCGAACUCCCAUAAGUUGAAAGCCCGUUGUUGACAUGGGAGGAUCCGGUGGAAGAGCAUGACCUGGGCUAUGUUGACAAGCUUAAGUUUCUUGCUUGUCAUGUUCCGGAUACACUUCUGUAGUCUGUCCAGCUCCACCGAAGAGCCCAAGACAGGCCCUUCUCCUUCCAGGAAGUGAGCCGCGUGGGGACUCCGGAUCAAAACUCGGGGGCCGCCACCCAAUUGGUGUCACGCGGCUCGGUGAUGUAGAACCACCCCGAUUGCCACCCCUUUACGGUCUCCACGAAGGAGCCCUCGAGCCAUGUAACAUUGGGCAUUUUGCCCACCAUGGCUCCGCCGCAUUCUGCUUGUUGGCCGCCUACUACCUUCGGCUUGAUAUUGAAGGCCUUCAGCCAUAGGCCGAAGUGAGGCCGGAUGCGGAGGAAAGCCUCGCACAUGACGAUGAACGCCGAGAUGUUGAGGAUCAAAUUCGGGGCCAGAUCAUGAAAGUCCAGCCUAUAAUAGAACAUGAGGCCGCGGACGAAUGGAUGGAGGGGAAACCCCAGUCCAAGGACGAAGUGGGGGAGGAAAACCACCCUUUCAUGAGGUUCCGGGGUAGGGACGAUCUGCCCUGCGGCAGGUAGCCGAUGCGCGAUAUCCGCGGCUAAGUAUCCGGCUCCACGCAGUUUUUUGAUGUGCCUCUCCGUGACGGAGGAGGCCAUCCAGUUUCCUCCCACUCCGGACGUGUUUGGAGAGAGUGGGGGAAAAUGAUGUGGACUUGGGCGCUGGAGCUCGAGUGCGCGAGAAUGGAUGAGCAAGGAGGAAGAAGGCGUGGGUAGAAAAAGGUGAGAUCUUAUCCCUUUAUAAGGGCGGACUAAACUAUGCGCCCCCACUAGCCUGGUAAAACUCGCUUAUCCCCCAAGCGCCGUAAUUAAUGGCGCGGUUGGGUUACCCACAUCCAUAUUGAUGAGAAUCCCGCAAUAAGGGGAACACGAUCUCUGCUUUGACAAGACGUGUCAAGAAACCGCCUCGUGUUAUGUGCGGGGCUGGUUAAAGAAAAACGGUUCAAAUAAUUAUUGGGCCGUGGCAUGAUGUCAUGCUGCCAAAACGUGUCAGCAGAUUAGAUUUGUGGUAAUAUUAUUGUCUCUACGGUGGUAUGUGGAACUUAUUUUGCAGGGUCGGACACUAUCCUUGUAUUCAAACUCUUCCGUCGUUUAUUCGGAGGAGGAACCCACCUUACAAUGCCGAAGAUAACACUGCGUGCCGGACUCAUCGUCAUUGAAGCCUGGUUCAGGGGCUACUGAGGGAGUCCUGGAUUAGGGGGUCUCCAGACAGCCGGACUAUAUCCUUUGGCCAGACUGUUGGUAUAUGAAGAUACGAGAUUGAAGACUUCGUCCCGUGUCCGGAUGGGACUCUACUUGGCGUGGAAGGCAAGCUAGGCAAUACGGAUAUGGAUAUCCCCUCCUUUGUAACUGACCUUGCGUAACCCUAGCCCCCUCCGGUGUCUAUAUAAACCGGAGGGUUUUAGUCCGUAGGACAACAUACAAUCAUACCAUAGGCUAGCUUCUAGGGUUUAGCCUCUUCGAUCUCGUGGUAGAUCAACUCUUGUACUACUUAUAUUAUCAAGAAUAAUCAAGCAGGACGUAGAGUUUUACCUCCAUCAAGAGGGCUCGAACCUGGGUAAAACAUUAUGUUCCCUGCCUCCUAUUACCAUCCACCUUAGACGCACAGUUCGGGACCCCCUACUCGAGAUCCGCCGGUUUUGACACCGACACCAAGCACUCCGAACAAUGCCUUCAACAAGGUAACGACGUACAAACAUCGCCAUUGCCAGGUAUACCCAACUCGGGCUAGAGCUAGGCUUUCACCCUGAAGCUCAAGACCGGGUGCUCAAGUAGCACCACCAUUGAGGUCAUUAAUGUGUUGUCACCACCACUUUUCCACAAUUCUAGCAGCUACAUACGGUGUGACUGUCGCCGCCGCACAACCAUCCCUCUGCAUCAAAACUUUUUCCAUAAUUUGCAUCUUGCCGCCGAAGUCAACCACCAGAUCUUUGAAGAUGAACUCUUAGAAAAUCUUUUGAUGGUGACCACAGUCCACAGCUAGGCCGCCCCUGUCCCGGAUUCAAUUCCCGAUGACGCGCUCAGAAGCGAGAAAGCAGAUCUGCCAACUCCACCUAGUCGUGAAGACCCGGCCAUGCCGCUGCCCGCCAAGACCUAAUGACCAAGCAGCCAUGACCAUGUGCUGCAGCUAGCCGGCAGCCUGGACGGCCGCCGAGAAUCUACACGCAUGUGUACCUCUGAAGCAGCCGUGUGGAUGCGUCCAGGAAACCAGCCCCGCACGUACUGUAGGCCAUAGACUUCGUCCAGAUCGGGAGGCCGGAAUCAUCAGAUAGCGGCCAGAUCGGAAGGCGACCACCAAGGGGAAGAACAGAAAGAGUCCGGAGAUGCCCCGCCGCCACCGUCCGCCGGGCGGCCGGCCUCCUCCGGCGGGGGCGUGGUGAACGGCGCGGCGAGGGAGGGCCUCCGAAGGUGGCCGCCGCGGCGCCUCCGGAGUCGUCUGAAGCGACCAGGGAGGCUAGUGCACUGGUUGAUCAAACUGAACGAGGUGACCAUAGUUUGCUUGUGUCCAUUUUCUUGGAAGAUCGAUGGUCUGCAGGGGCCAGUGGCGGUGCCACAGUCUUCAGCAGGUAGCGUCUUUGCAAGGACACCCCACUCCUUCCACAGCUGGUCACCGAGCUCUGGCUGCUGCACGCCACCAGCCAGAUUCAGUAAACUAAAUCUGCUGAGCACUACUGAUUCUAAGAUUAGUCCCCAGAGCAAAGUAGUCAUCACCCAUGGUUGCAGAUAUAAUAAAACUACAUCUAACUCUUGCAUGCAUGAGUGAGUGCACAAAUCUCACCAGAAACAAAUGGAUUGCUAUUUGUUGUGGGAGUGAGCAUAAAUUCCACUGUUUUGAAAGAGAUGUCUGAGACAUUAAUCACUCAAAGAUACUGCUGCUAAAAAUGUAGUGAUCGAUCGGUCUUGUGAGGUGCUGCUGGGGAAAAGAAGAGUCGCAAUCCAUUCCUCAACUAAAGCUAGUGUGAAGAGCGCACGGUCUCCAACCAGCUGGAAUCUUCACAUGCCCAUCAUGAACACCCAAAGAUAAGCAAACAUUGUAUACCGGCACCAUUGCUUCAUCCAUCCAUCCAUAAUUCCGUAUACAGACAGCACAGCACAACACCUGUCAAAGGUGAGGAAGCCCCCUUAAAAACAAGUACUAGUAAGUUUCCUCUACACGUUUUGGCACUGAUUCCAGAAACCAUUAGCGUGAAUAUGUUGUUUCUGACCAUAUCUGGGUCGUUUUAUCAUGCAUCACGUACUACACCAGACAUGGGUCGGCUAGGGGAGGGAAUUAAUAUAUACACGUCUGUUGCUUUUUCUCGUUGCGGCCUUGAUUUCAUUGAUUAUAUGUAAUGUUUUUGUGCUUAUUGGUAUUUAGUUCAAGGUCGCCCUAUGGCACAUUGAAAAAGAAUAGUUCCGGCUGAGGGGGGGACAAGCGAGGUCGACAUGCUUGCUCUACCCAGCGCCGGCCCUAGAGGAUGGACCAAUAAUCAGUUGUUAGCACUCCUUCACAAAAUUGAUAAAGAUACACGAGAGUCUCGCAAAAUUGUUGGUCUCAUGAGAGUCUCGCAGCUUUAGCAUGAGAGGAAGAGUGCCACAGUGCGGUGCAAAAUGUUAAGGAACAUGAUAGUAACACGACCUUAAUUAAUAUGGACAGAGGGUUUUGAGAGGGACUAAAGAUACACGAGAGAUUGAAGUUGUGAAGAUUGACAUGCUAAUAAUCCUCAUGAUAAGUAGUUUAUUUAUAUCUUGAACAUAGGUUACAACGGUGCCCUAAAGAGUAAUGACUCUAUAGUCUUGUUUUCUGAUUAAUAUGAUAGUCUCUACAUGUAACUCCAACCGUAAAGAACAAGAUAUACGCUACUCUUCUCUAUUUUAGUGAACAAAUAUUUCACUUUGGUGGGAGGGUGGAGGAGGCUGGCGCUGCCUCCACUAUGUUAAGUGAAGAAUGUUUGCGGCAUUCCUUAUCACAUUCUUCAGGCGUGGGAUAGCAAUAGUAUUUGGGAUCCACGAAACAACACCAACAAUAGCCGUCAUUGCAUUUUAUUUUAGGUGGUCCACACAAUCCAUAUGGUAGACUGAUCUUCUCGUUACCUAUGUCUUCAAUACUCCCACCUAGAGAAUAAAAACAAAUUAGAGCAACGUAUAUAUCAUGGAUGCAACUAUAUAGAACUAUUACAUAAAUGUUUAUUUAAUCAACAAACAAGAAAAGGAAAAAUAUGAAACAACAACGAACAAAUGGCAUUUUUACUAAUAGCAUAGACAUUUUUCAAUAUACAUGAAAAAAUAUUAGACAUAACUCAUGAUAAUACAAAACUAAACAAUGUAAGUAUACGGAAACAAAUUUUCAUCAUAUACCGUGUUACUUACAUUGAACAUGAGCAACAAAGCAAACGAGAAGAAUAAUCCAGAGUGGCGCUAGUAACUGCACACGUUCCAUGUACUUCUCCAUGCCCACAGACUUGAAUUACUUUAAACAAUCAGUGCUUUAGGAGGCCCAAUAUGUGUGUGCUGAUCUAAGAAUUAGUUGGAGACUGCUAGCCAUAUCAUUCCUUCUUAUAUAUAGAGGGGUGACAAAAUAUUAGUCAGGAAUUUAUUUAAUGGAGCCAAUUAGCUAUCAUUUAUAAUUUUCAAAGUAAAUGAAAAUUCGUGGUGAACAUUAAAUCUCAGGAUGCUAAUUUUGGGGGGCAUUGAUGGCCCAAAGUUUAAAAGACUACCCAAGAGACGCUCGGAAAUGCACAUUUAACUCCAUUCAUAAAUAUAAGCCUUUUUUAGAGAUUUCAAUGAGGACGACAUACAGAUGUAUAUAGACGUACUUUAGAGUGUAGAUUCACUCAUUUUGCUUUAUAUGUAGUACAUAUAGGAAUCUUUAGAAAGACUUAUAUUUAGAAACUAAGGAAAUAAUGUAAUAGCACAUUUAAUAACCUAACACCGCUAGGAAAAACCUUACCGGUAGCGCUGGAUUUUGAGCUACCAGUAGCGCUGGUGGACACGCUACUGCUACGGCGCUACAACUAUCUAUUAGCAGUAGCGCUCUUUCUGCCUAGCGCUACUGGUAAUUUGAAAUAGCAGUAGCACGUGUUAAAAAAGCUCUAUUGUUAGAGCGCACUGCUGGUACUGCUAAUGUUUUAUGUUUUUUUCUUGUUUUAUACUGUAUUUGUACACCCGUUAUUAAAUUUUGAGAUAGUAGCUCAUCGUCAUCAUAAUAACUCAUCAUCAUCGUAAUAACAACUCAUCGUUAUCAUCAUCAUAGUCAUAUAAGAACUCAUCAUCAUAACAACUCCUCAAUCCUCAUCAUCAUCUAUAAGUCAUAUAGCAACUCAUCAUUAUUCUAACACGUUGUAGCACAUAACUCAUCAUCAUCAUCAUAAUAACAACUUCUACUCAUCAUCAUCUAUGAGUCAUAUAACAACACAUCAUUCUAACACAUUGUAGCACAUAACUCAUCAUCAUCAUAAUAACAACUCGUACUCACCAUCAUCUAUGAGUAAUAUAACAACUAAUCAUUCCAACACAUUGUAGCACAUAACUAACCGUCAUCAUAAUAACAACUAAUCAUCAUCAUCAUCACCAUCAUAGUCAUAAUCAACACUAGCUAAUUGUUCUUCCUACCUACGAGCUACUCCUCUCUGGUAGCUAUAAUAACAUAAAAUAGGUAAACUGGUCCAUCUCCAAAAUGGAGAAUGGAGAUCCACCUGUCGCCAACUUCUGGCUUGCACAAACACAUGUUGUCUCCAAUCGGUUGUGUGGGCGCCUUCUUUAAUUUGCACCAUUCUUUGAUAUCGAGGCUUCCAUAUUUCAAAGAAAUAGAGUAUGAAAUUUGGUAAGCCUCGGCGGAAAUGUUCAUAAGCUAAACAUGUACAUACUCCCUUCAGUAAGCAUCAAUGGAGGCACAACCUCGCUCGGGAGAUUUUGUUGAACAACAUAGUAACAUGUAUAGUUAGCAAUAUGUAGUUUACUUAAGAAUAAUUUAUGCAAAGAAGUUACCAUCUUUAACAAAAUCAUACCAUGUUUUUCUUAAUGAAGUUACCAUCAUGCAACUGAUGGACUAGUGGCACGUAUCCAAUAUAAUUUGGGCUCAAAAAGUGAUUGAUCUUAAAAGUCUUAAUGAGGGAGUCCUGGAUUAGGGGGUGUUCGGAUAGCCGAACUAUACCUUCAGUCGGACUCCUGGACUAUGAAGAUACAAGAUUAAAGACUCCGUCCCGUGUCCGGAAGGGACUUUCCUUGGCAUGGAAGGCAAGCUUGGUGAUACGGAUGUUCAGAUCUCCUACCAUUGUAACCGACUCUACGUAACCCUAACCCUCUUCGGUGUCUAUAUAAACCGGAGGGUUUUAGUUCAUAGGACAACAUACACAUCAACAAUAAUACCAUAGGCUAGCUUCUAGGGUUAGGCCUCUCUGAUCUCGUGGUAGAUCUACUCUUGUACUACCCAUAUCAUCAAUAUUAAUCAAGCAGGACGUAGGGUUUUACCUCCAUCGAAGGGCCUGAACCUGGGUAAAACUUCGUGUCCGUUGCCUCCUGUUACCAUCCGGCCUAGACGCACAGUUUGGGACCCCCUACCCGAGAUCCGCCGGUUUUGACACCGACAUUGGUGCUUUCAUUGAGAGUUCCUCUGUGCCAUCACCGUCAGGCCCAAUGGCUCCUACGAUCAUCAAUGGCGAUGCAGUCCAGGGUGAGACCUUCCUCCCCGGACAGAUCUUCGUCUUUGGCGGCUUCGCACUGCGGGCCAAAUCACUUGGCCAUCUAGAGCAGAUCGAAAGCUACGCCCCUGGCCGUCAGGUCAGAUUCGGAAGUUUAAACUACACGGCUGACAUCCGCGGGGACUUGAUCUUCAACAGAUUCGAACCACUGCCGAGCGCGCCGCACUGUCAUGAUGAGCAUGAUUUAACUCUGCCGCUGAACGGUGCCCUGGAGGCCGCACCCGCACCGGUCCGACCCUUAGUUCAGAGUCAACUGCGCCGAUCGAGGAUGAGCGGUUGGACGCCACCUCGGGGGCUGCGAUCCAAACGGCGAUUGAGCCGAACACCAGCCCUGUACUCUGCGAGGCUCGUGACUCCAAGGAGCCGGACUCCUCUCUGAACUCCGAGCCCUCCGCGCCCCUGCCAGUCAAAUCCGAUUGGGCGCCGAUCAUGGAGUUCACUGCCGCAGACAUCUUUCAGCACUCGCCUUUCGGCGAUAUCCUGAAGUCACUGAAGUCUCUCUCUUUAUCAGGAGAGCCCUGGCCGGACUACGGUCAGCAAGGUUGGGGUACGGACGAUGAAGAAAUUCAAAACCCACCCACCAUCCACUUUGUAGCCACUGUCGACGACUUAACCGACAUGCUCGACUACGACUCCGAAGACAUCGAUGGUAUGGACGCCGAUGAAGGAGAUGAUGAAGAACCAGCACCUGCUAGGCCCUAGAAAGCCACCUCAUCAUAUGACAUAUACAUGGUGGACACCCCAAAAGAGGGAGAGGGCGAUGGAACAGCGGAGGAUGACCCCUCCAAGAAACAGCCCAAGCGCCGACGUCAGCGGCGCCGCUCAAAAUCCCGCCAACACAAAAAUGGUGAUUCCAGCACGGGAGAUAAUAAUACUCCGGAGAGUGCCGAAGAAAACCCCCUCCAGCAAGGUUUAGCACAGGAGGAUGGAGAAACCAGCCCUCAUGAGAGAGCGGCAGACAGAGAGGUCGAGGACGAUAAUUAUAUGCCUACCUCCAAAGACGAGGCAAGCCUCGACGACGACGAAUUCGUCGUGCCAGAGGAUCCCAUUGAGCAAAAGCGUUUCCAAUGCGGGCUUAUGGCCACGGCAAGAAGCCUCAAGAAAAAAUAGCAGCAGCUCAGAGCUGAUCAAGAUUUGCUGGUUGACAGAUGGACUGAAGUCCUUGCGGCCGAAGAGCAUAAACUCGAACGCCCCUCCAAGAGUUACCCAAAGCGCAAGUUGCUACCCCGAUUAGAGGAGGAAGCACUUGAUGGGACCGAACGGCCACCUCGUGGCCGCGACAGAGAGGCCUCCCGGCCCUCCACUCAAGCCGCACCCCGUACCAAGGCACAGGAAUAUGCGCCGGACUUACGAGACAUGUUGGAGGACAAGGCAAGGCAAACACGAUCGUUCUACGGAUCGCGUGGGCACCCCACGGCUCGAGACAGUAACUGUCACGCCGGCCACAAAUUCGGCAGGGCCCAACAUAGUAGACAAAGCUCAUUGGAGCUACGUCAUGAUAUCGCCCAGUACAGAGGCGCCGCACACCCACUGUGCUUUACAGACAAAAUAAUGGAUCAUCAAAUCCCCGAGGGUUUCAAACCCGUAAACAUCGGAUCAUAUGAUGGCACAACAGACCCUGCGGUAUGGAUCGAUGAUUAUCUCCUUCAUAUCCACAUGGCCCGCGGCGACGAUUUUCACGCCAUCAAAUACCUCCCACUCAAGCUUAAAGGACCAGCUCGGCAUUGGCUCAACAGCUUGCCAACAGGAUCAAUCAGUUGUUAGGAGGACCUAGAAGCCGCAUUCCUCGACAAUUUCCAGGGCACUUAUGUGCGACCCCCAGACGCCGAUGACCUAAGUCACGUAAUCUAGCAGCCAGAGGAAUCAGCCAGACAAUUCUGGACAUGGUUCCUAACAAGGAAAAAUCAAAUAGUCGACUGUCCGGACGCUGAGGCCCUAGCAGCCUUCAAGCACAAUAUCCAUGACGAGUGGCUGGCCCGGCACCUCGGACAGGAAAAGCCGAAAUCUAUGGCAGCACUCACGACACUCAUGACCCGCUUUUGCGCGGGAGAAGACAGCUGGCUCGCUCGUAGCAACAAUAUGACCAAGAACCCUGGUAGUUCAGACACCAGGGAUAUUAGUGGCAGGUCGCGUCACAACAAGCAGAAGCACCGCAUUAACGGCGACAAUGCUGAGGAUACGGCAGUUAGUGCCGGAUUCAGAGGCUCUAAAUCCGGUCAGCGGAAGAAGCCAUUCAAAAGGAAUCCUAGGGGCCCGUCCAGCUUGGACCGAAUACUCGACCGCUUGUGCCAAAUACAUGGCACCCCCGAAAAGCCGGCCAAUCACACCAAUAGGGAUUGUUGGGUGUUCAAGCAGGCAGGCAAGUUAAGCGCCGACAAUGAAGACAAGGGGCUGCAUAGUGAUGACGACGAGGAGCCCCAGCCGCCGAACAACAAUGGAUAGAAGGGUUUUCCCCCACAAGUGCGGACGGUGAACAUGAUAUACGCCACCCACGUCCCCAAAAGGGAGCGGAAGUGCGCGUUAAGGGACGUAUACGCGGUAGAGCCAGUCGCCCCAAAGUUCAACCCAUGGUCCUCCUGCCCGAUCACCUUUGAUCAAAGAGACCAUCCCACUAGCAUCCAUCAUGGGGGAUUUGCCGCAUUGGUUCUAGACCCAAUUAUUGACGGAUUUCAUCUCACUAGAGUCCUCAUGGACGGCGGCAGCAGCCUGAACCUGCUUUACCAGGAUAUAGUGCGAAAAAUGGGCAUCGAUCCCUCGAGGAUUAAGCCCACCAAAACGACCUUUAAAGGCGUAAUACCAGGUGUGGAGGCCAACUGUACAGGCUCAGUCACACUUGAAGUGGUCUUCGGAUCCCCGGAUAAUUUCCGAAGCGAGGAAUUAAUCUUCGACAUAGUCCCAUUCCGCAGUGGCCAUCAUGCACUGCUCAGACGAACCGCAUUCGCCAAAUUCAAUGCGAUACCGCACUACGCAUACCUUAAGCUCAAGAUGCCAGGCCCUCGUGGAGUAAUUACGGUCAAUGGAAACACCGAACGCUCCCUCCGAACGGAGGAGCACACGGCGGCGCUUGCGGCGGAAGUACAAAGCAGCCUCUUCAGGCAGUUCUCCAGUCCGGCCAUUAAACGUCCGGACACCGUCAAGCGCGCUCGGAGUAACCUACAACAAGACCGCCUGGCACGUUCCGAGCAGGCGUAGCAAUGCGGCCCCAACCCCAACCCUCACAAAAAGGCGACGCCAAUACUUCGCGUACAUAACUACGCUCUAGAAAUACCAUGGGCUUAGGGGGAGGGGCACCAUCACAGCACGCCCAAAACACGGCUUAAACCGCACCAGGGGUUGCUGAUUUUUUACUUUUCAGGACUCUACUCUUCGGAAGGCCUGUUCGGCAGUUAAAUUGCCGCACAAACGAUGCAAGGACCAGGGAAGCAGACAAGCCAUGCCGCAUUACGAAAAUCCCAGGUGGUCUCUAUCACGAGCAGUAUACCUGUUUCGCAUACUAUUUCGUAGCUUGCCCCUGAAGCAGACAUGUUAAAUAGUCAAACUUUUCGUUUAUCGCAUUACUUGUAUCGUUCUGCUUUGAUCGCAGCUAUUUUUAAACAAUGCAUAGCUUUUGUUUAUUUUCGCAUUAUUUUUUUAUAAAUAAAUGUUCCUUAACGACAUGUUGCACCCGUACAACUUGGUACGGCCAAAAUACGCUAGGGGAUUUUAGCACCCCUCAAUAAGGUGUGAGAAGUCCGAACACUUUCACAAGUGCGGCACCCCGAACUUAUAGCACUAUAUGCAUCGGCUCUGAAUCAUGUCUUGGGUUACUACUUGGGUUUGCCCGGCUCCUAUGUUUUGGUGCCUUACGUUCCGCUAUAUCGGCUAGGGUAGCACUAGGAGAACCACUGCGAUUGUGCCCCAGUUGAGCUGGGCCGAGCACCUCAGUGGAGAAAGCUAAAACUGACUGUCAUGAUGAAGCGAGAGCUGGUCGCUGUUCGAGAGGUUUUUUCGAGUCCCUAAAGACUUAUGCCGCUUAGGGCGAGGAGUCGGCUCUGUCCGGCCAAGGCGUGGAUAGCGCCCCAAACUCGGUCUUCCGAAUACUAGGGGCUUCGCGAAAAUUUAAAAUUAUAGAAUUCUAUGGCUAAGUGAGAGUGUUCACGCAUUAUAAUCCGAUUGCCUCGUUUGUUGGGCUGAGCGCCUCCCUCGAAGGACCCAAAUAUGGGAAAAAGAGCGCUCAGGUUUAUCCUCGAACACCCCAGCACUAGCGGCAAGGGGGCAGAAGCCGACGACUCGCCAUCUCUCAGUAUUGAUAAACAGCCGCACAAAAGGUAAUAUUUUAAAUUCAAGCAGCAUUGCUCAGCGCAUAUGAACAAGUUUUUAGCGCACAGGACAAACACGAGCGAGUUUUACUCAAAAAUUACAUCCCUAGUACAUUCAUCCGCCACAAGGCGGGCACCCUUCAGAACAUCCUUAUAGUAAUUUCCGGGCUUGCGAUGCUCUUUCCCCGCUGGUGGCCCGUCCUUCACAAGCUUCUCCGCAUCCAGCCUGCCCCAGUGCACCUUAGCACGGGCAAAGGCCCUACGGGCACCUUCAAUACAGACGGGGCAUUUGAUGACUUCGAGCCUUGGACAGGCAUCCACCAGCCGCCGCACCAGCCCAAAAUAGCUCCCAGGCAGAGCCUCUCCAGGCCACAUCCGAACUAGGAGGCCCUUCAUGGCCUGUUCGGCCGCCUUGUGGAGCUCGACCAGUUGCUUCAGCUGGUCGCUCAGGGGCACGGGGUGUCUGGCCUCAUCAUACUGAGACCAGAACACCUUCUCCAUCGAGUUGCCCUCCUCGGCUUGAUAGAAUGCGGCGGCAUCGGAUACACUCCGGGGAAGAUCUGCAAAUGCCCCUGGGAGCUCCGUAUUCGGGUAAGUAUCAAGUAACUCACGUUUACGUGUUUACUUUGCAUAAAGAAUGCCUUACCCGCCGCUAUCUUCUUCACCUCAUCCAACUCCUGGAGGGUCUUCUGGGAUUCGGUCUUGGUAGACUUGGGCAUUUUCAAUAGCCGCCGCAAGCUCGGACGCUCGCGUCUUCGAGUCAAGCUCCAAACUCUCAUGUUUCUUCAUGAGAACCUGGAGCUCUUGCCGCACCUUGCCAACCUCGGCCUCAUACCUCUCCCGCUCGAUGCGCUCCGCGGCCGCAGUCUUCUCGGCCUCGAGCAGCGCUUGCUUAAGGGUCGCCACCUCAGAUGUGGCCCCUACAAUAGCCAUGUUAAUCCUGUCAUUUCUUGCAAUUGCACCUUUUUUAUAUAUACAUAUUCAACCAAGGUAUUUCUUACCUUCAUUGUCCUUGAGCUGCUUCUUGGCACGCUCGAGCUCUUGCUCGACCUUUCGAGGUCCUGCUUUAGCGUGUCCACUUCCGCAGUCAGUGCGGCGGACGCAAGCAGGGUAGCCUGCACAUGCAUAUUGACUCAUUUUUGUUAGACUCCUGCGAAUUCUGUUUGAUCCUCUAUUCGGCUUUUCUUCCCGAACGCCAAACAGAGCAUCAGGGGCUACUGUCUAUGCGGUACUAUUAUUUACACUUUCUUUACUUACCUCGAAGCCUGUCAAAAGGCUAGUACAAGCUUCAGUCAGUCCGUUUUUUGCAGACUGAACCUUCUAGACCACCGCACUCAUAAUAGCGCGGUGCUCCUCGUCGAUGGAGGCGCCUUGGACCUCCAGCAUAUUGUCCAGCGCCCCCGGUUGGACGGAGGCCGCCGGCACGGUGGACUUGCUCCACUUGGAAGGAGGUCCCCCGCCGGACUGCGGGACCUUUGAAGGUUCUGGAGCGGUGUCCGGCCUAGAGUCGGACUUGGAGCCCUGGGGGGUUUCAUCCCCCUUACUCCUGGAGUCCAGGAGGUCGCCUUGCGGCGCCUCCGGGACCACCUCCUCCCUGCUUGGAACCUCUUGGGACAACACCUCGGUGUCGUCCGUAGGGCGGGGGGAGGAAGCCGUCAGAAGCGAGUUCAUAUCCGACGAGUCCAGUGAGCCGCUCGACGACGCGUCGAGCCGGUCUUUGGGUGGGAUGCAUAAGCAAAUUCGACAUAAGGGAAAGCUGUGCAAUAAACGAAUACUAUGAAUUACUCCGGUAUCCAGAUACUUACGAUUUUGCCAGGGGCUUGGCCCUGGGCCGCCACUCAUCUCCGCCGUCGUCGGCGUCGGCGGAGUAGUCCGGAGGAAGGGUUUUCCCCUUCUUGGACCCUCCGGCCUCCUCAGAGAGGGCGGCCUUCCUUUUCUUCUUUCCUCCCGCUGGAGGGGGAGAGGUUUCUUCUUCUUCCUCCUCGUCUUCGCGAGAGGAAGGCACUUCGGGACCGUCGGAUGAUGAAUCCGACACCUCCUGGCGUCGGGUGCUCUUUCGAGUCCCCGUGGCCCUUUUUGUGGCCUUCUUCUCUGGCCCCACAUAGGGCGCCGGAACCAGCAGCCUCGCCAAGCGAGCGUCCGCUGGGCCUUCGGGCAAAGGGGCCGGACAGUUGAUCUGUCCGGACGUCACCUGCCAAUCCUGUCAGAGGAAAGGGAGCUUAGAUCCUGCAUAGAGUCAAACUAUGGAAAACUGAUACCCUAUAAAAGGAAAAAAUAGCUUACCGCGAGCGCGUGACGCUGCGCGCUGAAUCCGCGAUCCUCGGUAGCGGAUGCACGAGCCUCGGCACCCUUGAAAAGCAUCCUCCAGGCAUCUUCGUACGUCGUGUCGAAGAGCCUGUUUAGAGUUUGAUGUUGCGCCGGGUCGAACUCCCAUAGAUUGAAGGCCCGUCGUUGACACGGGAGGAUCAGGCAGAUGAGCAUAACCUGGAUUACGUUGACAAGCUUGAACUUCUUGUCCACCAGCGUUUGGAUGCAUGUUUGGAGUCCGGUCAGCUCUCCUUUUUUACCCCAAGACAGGCCUGUCUCCUUCCAGGAGGUGAGUCGCGUAGGGGGGGCGGAUCGAAACUCAGGGGGUGCGACCCAUUCAGCGUCGCGCGGCUCGGUGAUGUAAAACCACCAUGAUUGCCACCCCUUCAGGGUCUCCACAAAGGAGCCCUCGAGCCACAGGACAUUGGCCAUCUUGCCAACCAUGGCACCGCCGCACUCCGCCUGGCUGCCACGCACCACCUUUGGCUUGACGUUGAAAGUCUUAAGCCAUAGGCCGAAAUGGGGGCGGAUGCGGAGGAACGCCUCGCACACGACAAUGAACGCCGAGAUGUUGAGGACGAAGUUCGGGGCCAGAUCGUGGAAAUCCAGGCCGUAGUAGAACAUGAGCCCCGGACAAAUGGAUGCAGAGGGAAGCCCAGUCCGCGGAGGAAAUGGGGGAGGAAUACCACCCUCUCAUGGGGCCAAGGAGUGGGGAUGAGCUGCCCCUUUUCGAGAAGCCGGUGCGCGAUGUUGCUAGCCAGAUAUCCGUCCUUCCUCAGCUUUUUGAUGUGUCCCUCCGUGACGGAGGAGACCAUCCACUUGCCUCCCGCUCCGGACAUGACUGGAGAAGGUUGAGGUGGUAGUGCGGACUUGGGCGCUGGAGCUCGAGUGCGCAAGAAUGGAUAGGCAAAGGGGGAAGAAGGCGUAGGUGAAAAGGUGGAUCCUUAUCCCCUUAUAUGGAUGGACGCAACUAUGUGUCCCCACCAGCCUGGUAAAACUCGCUUAUCUCCAAGCGCCGUAAUCAAUGGCGCGGUUGGGUUACCCACGCCCGUAUUGAUGAGAAUCCCGGAAUAAGGGGACACGAUCUCUGCUUUAACAAGACGUGCCAAGGAAACCGCCUCGCAUAACGCGCUAAGAUGGGACAGUAAAACGGUUCGAAUAAAAGCUUGGCUGUGGUGUGAUGUCACACUACGGAGUACGUCAGCAGAUUAGAUUUGUGUAAAUAUUAUUCUCUCUAUGGCAAUAUGUGGAAACUUAUUUUGCAGAGCCGGACACUAUCUUUGUGUUCAAAAUCUUCUAUGAAGUACUUGGAGGAGGAACCCGCCUUGCAAUGCCGAAGACAAUCUGCGCGCCGGACUCGUCGUCAUUGAAGCCUGGUUCAGGGGCUACUGAGGGAGUCCUGGAUUAGGGGGUGUUCGGAGAGCCGAACUAUACCUUCAGCCGGACUCCUGGACUAUGAAGAUACAAGAUUAAAGACUCCGUCCCGUGUCCGGAAGGGACUUUCCUUGGCAUGGAAGGCAAGCUUGGCGAUACGGAUGUUCAGAUCUCCUACCAUUGUAACCGACUCUACGUAACCCUAACCCUCUCCGGUGUCUAUAUAAACCAGAGGGUUUUAGUUCGUAGGACAACAUACACAUCAACAAUCAUACCAUAGGCUAGCUUCUAGGGUUAGGCCUCUCUGAUCUCGUGGUAGAUCUACUCUUGUACUAUACACAUAUCAUCAAUAUUAAUCAAGCAGGAUGUAGGGUUUUACCUCAAUCGAGAGGGCCCGAACUUGGGUAAAACUUCGUGUCCCUUGCCUCCGGUUACCAUCCGGCCUAGACGCACAGUUCGGGACCCCCUACCCGAGAUCCGCCGGUUUUGACACCGACACUUAAAAUCAUCUAUAAAUGAGACAAGAUAUCCUUUCUCCUCAUAAUUAAUCUUGGAGUCAUAGCCGUAGUACGUCCUGUCCACAGCUUUCCGAGUAUUUCUUGAAGAUAAGAAAUAAGCUGAGAAUUAUAAAUAAACAAAAUUAGUAGCGAUGAACACCAAAUAUUUUUAAAGAAAAAUUAAUUACUUAACAAAUUAGUUUGACAAACUCACAUUUAGGCAAAAUAGGAGGCAUAUCCACAUCGACCAAAAUGUCGAUAUUAUCUUCAAUAUCUUCAUCUUCAGGAGGAAUAUCAAAGAUUAUUUGCAUAUUCUCCGAAAAUCCAUGAUGAGGAAAUGGCUACCACAGUUACACUGACAACCCCUUCUACUAUGUCUAUUGGACUAAUUACUAAAGCUCGCGCACACCAGUUAAAUUAUCAGGUACUUUCGUUUCUUGGUAAUGUUUCUAAUGUUCAUGAGAAUGUGAUGCUACCUAACUUGGAUAUAUUUGUGUUGAUUAUAGUUGACGGGCCUAGCAUGGAAAAUAAGGAUGAACAUUGGAGCACUAUCAAGCACUGUGAUGAAGGCGCGCACGAAGGGAACAAGAACGGAGUUUUCGGAGGAGAUUUCCGCACUUUGAAGCCACCAUGAUGACAUACAUGAAGAUGAACGAAAUAUACAAGAUGGUCUUUCAUAAAUUUCGUCCAUAGCUUAUUAUUGGUGUUUCUCACCUUAGUUUUGGGUUAGGCCCACAUAUUUUCGAAAUACAUCUCUUUAGGCUGCUUUUAGAGUCCGUAUUGUAGGGGAAAUGACUUAGGAGGUGUUUUAGUCCCACCUUGCCAUGGGUGGACGAAGGCCCUCUCCUUUCCCCUUUAAAUACAACCCUGAAGGCACCGUUUAGACUUGGGUUUUAUUUAGUUAAAAGUUAGCCAUUGCUGCAACUUCAUGUAAUUCGUUUGUGUACAACAACCAGGCCAAGACCGCUUUUGAAACCCCACUUUCAUCAAUACUUCAUCCAUAUUCGCAAUAGUCAGAUUGCUUUAUCAUAUUCUUGCUUGUUCUUCGAUUGCCUGCAGGAAUAGACCUUCGUCGUCAGAUUGAGCCUGGUGAAUAACCUCUUGGGGUUGGUUUAGCGAUUACUAAGGCACAACGUCGUUGCACAUUUGUAGCCGGAUCAUCAAAGUCGUCUCCACCAAAUCGAUCGUCAUCAUCUCAUCGAAAGAUCAGAACCCUUGCCUCUAUCAAUCCAUAGGCUUUGAAGAGAGCUCCCCAAUUUGAGCAACCAAAAUAGUAGCGACUAAGCGCAUUGCGGAGCUUAACUUGAAAAGCAUAACCAUGUUUAGUCCUGAGGUGAGCUAUCCUCGUCUCCAUAUUCUCAUAGCCUUGGAAACCAAGCUUCUCCAAGACAUAAGGUCUUGCAUGGCAGCGGAUAUACUACUCGAAUUAAAAAACCCUAGAAAUUACACGUUGAAGCAAAGAAUCACAAGUCAUGAUUAAUUAUGAAGAAAUACUUGUCGUCGUUGCAUACCGUAAAAACAUCAAAGGUCUCUUCCAGCUCGACGGUGAAGAACCUACCAUUUUGUGGGUGAGGCAUCAUGUUGCAUAUACCCCGGUCAUCGGAGCAGUAUUCGCCCUCCGGGAUCCUAUAAUCAUCAAACAUUUUCUGUGUUCAAAAUUCAAAGAUUAUAAAUUGACGACAAUCACCAAGAACUCAACAAACAGAUCACUAUUCACCAUGGAUUGACUUUCGGUCCGUCGAGACUUUCCUUGAUGUUGGGCACUCCCUCUCUGAUAUAUUCGACCGUCGGUGAUGGUCGCUCCUUCCUUCGUUCCCGAGUGCAUUACACCAAAAUGUCUAGCAGACGAGAGCGAAGGAGAAGCAACCCCCACGACAAUAGUCAAGAUUCUUCCUCUCUCAUAUUUGUGACCGUCAGUGAUGGUCGCUCUUCUCUUCCUUCCCGUGCAUUACCAAAAGUUAUAUCAUGAGAAGGAAGAGGAAGAGCGACCCCAACGACAACAGUCGGCAUUCUUAUUCUCUCAUAUAUGGUGGACACUCCCUCACUGAUUUUUCGACCAUUGGUGAUGGUCGCCCUUCUCUUCCUUACCGUGCAUUACCAAAAGGUCUAUCACGAGAAAUAAGAGGAAGAGUGACCCCUCACGACAACAGUCAACAUUCUUCUUAUCUCAUAUAUGGUGGACACUCUCUGUCACUGAUUUUUUUUACCGUCAUGUAUGGAUCCCCGACAGACUUAAAGUCAACCCAAAAUGUCGUUUAAUUCUCUUCCAGCAAAUCCAGGACACUCGAUAUUUCCUAUAUAUUCUAGCACAUAUCGAGCGUCUGAAAUUCAUGGGAAAUUCCGGCAUGAUCUUUGCUAAAAUAGGACAUAUCGAGCGUCUGAAAUUUGCCGAAACGGAAAUGAAUCAACACUCCGGCAAAACAUAGGCCACACGGAAGUGUUCCAUGCAAACACAUAUCCUUGAUUUUCGUAUUUAAGCAAGUACAUAGACCAUGUUUACUCACUAUAGACGAUGGUUAUUGACAAUGCGGGAGUGUCCUCGGUGUUCUUCUAGGGGUCAUCAACCGGUCGUCGGUGAUGUGCCCGGGGCCACAUAUGAGCAUUUAUAUAGAAAUUUUCAAACUUGGCGCUCGUUUCAUUUCAAUGGUUCAAUAUUGACAAAAACAUUUCAAUAUAUCUUAUAACCCUAACAUUCCACUUGGACAGCAAGCAUAACUAAAUACACUAGUUUUUCAAGAGAGUAGGUCUCUCUCUCUCUCUCUCUCUAAAUUUGGCAGUGUGAGAAUGACAUAAAAAUAUUCCAAAACACCUACAUUUACUGAAAAAAUUCUACUCUAUUCUAUUCAAAACACCUACAUUUACCGAAAAUUUUCUAGUCUAUUCAAAACACCAACAUUUACUGAAAAAUUUCUAUUCCAUUGAAAUAAUGUACACUCUAUUGUAUUCAAAUAACAAUGCUAAACCUACUGCCUACAAGAAUAGAGGGAGGAGGCCGGGAUGGAGGGAGGGAGGAGGGCAGGAGGGAAGAAGGGAGGAGAGGGAGAGGAGGCCGGGAUGGAGGAAGGGAGGAGGUCGGGAUGGAGGAAGGGGGGCAGGGAAGGAGGGAGGGAGGAGGCCUGGAUGGAGGAAGGGAGGAGGGCCGCGAGAGGAGGGGAUUUCUCGGGGGCAAUGACGGGCGACGACUGCGGCGGACCACGGCAACGACAGAGAGAGCAAGCGCGAGAGAGUGUGAGGAGGAGAGUGAGGGGGAGAACGGAGUUGCGCCCGGGAGGAAUAGGACAUGCCCGUUAGCAGUAGCGCUGGGUACGAGCCGGCGCUACUGCUAAGCCCAUUAGUUGUAGCGCCUGUGCAGUGCCCACACUACAGCUAAGUGGGCUAGUAUCUUCCUACCCUAGUGUGCGGUGUGGCCCACUUAACAGUAGCGUCCUGUAGCCAACGCCGCGUUGCUGCUAAAUUAUAUCAGUAGCGCCUGUUAAUCCUAGCGCUACUGGUACUGGUACUUAACAGUAGCACCGUGGACUUAACCACCGCUACUACUGAUAUUCUACCUAUAAGCUAUUUGCUACUAGUGUAAUAUUGCUCCAUACAUAAACCAUAUCCAGGCAGAAGAUACACGUAUGAACUACUUCAAAUGCAAAGGAAAUCCAAACUGUACAUCCAUACAGUGGACAUUAGACAAUAGCAUAUCCAUGGCCAUGAUUACAAUACACUAACGAAUUUAAGGCUCACAUUGCUGCGCCCACCAUUUUCGCUCUAGAAUGUUAUGCAAAUCAUUUAAUAACCUAGAAUUGCUCCAUAAAUAGAAUAUAUCCAUGGAGAAGAUUUUUCUGUCCGUCCAUUGUUUGCUCUAGAAUGUUAUGCAAAUAUAUGGAUAUUUAAUAACCUAAUAUUGCUCCAUAAAAUAAACAAUAUCCAUGGAGAAGAUUGAUGCAUCCAUCCGUUUUCGUGCUGUAAAAUUUGAGAUUGAUGCAAAUAAAUGGAGGCACUUUACUUUAUAAUAAACUAGCAAACAUGCCUGUGCGUUACAAUAGAAAAAAAAAUCCUUGCACACGAUCUCAUAAUUUGUGAACGCGGUGCUAUAGAUGAUGUAAUCGCCCUGGCGUUUUAGAUGUGCAUGCACUUGCGCUUGUGCUUUGCUAUGGAUGAAGUGCAAGACUCAAGUCCUCCCGAGUCAAGCGAGGCGGGCUUCUACGGUUCUACUUGGGGGCACGGGCUUUAAGCAAAGUCCUUGACAAAAAAGUGAGCGGCAAGAAAAAUAUACAUGUAGUGCGGAUGAUUUUUUUGAUAGGUCCAGCAUUGCUGGCAUUCAUUGAUUUAGCAGGAGAGCACAUAAAACAUUGUUGAUCAAGUGAUAGAAGAAAGAAAGAAGAGAAGGGAAAGAGAUAGAAUGAAAAUGCAUUUAGGCCGUGCAACUAGUCUAUAUCUCACAGUGGAUCCCGAAGGGGCUCUCCAAUUUUUUCCUCCUACAAGGUGCUAUAGCUGAAGCAUUGAUCUUAUCGCCUUUAUCACAUCCCAAUUCUAUGGUUGCUUCCUCAGAAGACAUAGUUGUUGCGCUCCUGCCAUAUCUCCGAGGGAAUAAAGACGAUCAUGGACUUGAUGCUUCUUCUUGCAUGGCGCGGUGCGCCACAGUUGAUGAUGGAAGAUGUCCUCUAUUGUUGUUUUUUCAUUUGCUAAAAAUUUCCUGUCCGAGUGCACCACACCCAUUCCAGCUCGCGCCUGGUUCCAAAUGGCCACUGACGCACUACAGCCCCAAAAGAGAUGGAAGGAGGACUCCAGAUUCCUGAUGCAUAUUUGGCAGAAGUAUCCAUUGACCCAACCGCGUCAUUGCAGACAGUCGUUGCACCAUAGGCGGUUUUGCUGGAGGAGCCAUGAGAAGAUCUUUGCCUUUCCCGACGCCCAAGCCUUCUAGAACAUGGAUAGGAGAUUGUUGUUGCUUGCUUGUGGGAAUUGCAGCAGGUAGGCUGAAGUAGUAGAGUACUCUCUUGGGGCUGUGCAAUGCCAUCUGAUAGUGCCAGCUGGCACCCCUUCCUCUAAGGUGAUCCUAGCUGCGCUGUUCAAAGACGAAAGGAGGAUGAAAUCUUGGACAAUCAUUAUGUUGUUGUCGUGUCUUAGAUCUCCAAUCUUGGUUCCAUGCAACAUUGCAGUGGUGACAGUCAUGUUCUUCCGCCACGAGUGAUCGAAGAGUGCGGGGACGACAACACAGAGUGGUGAACCCCCAAUCCAGGAGGAGUGCCAUAAGGUUGCAGUCUUGCCGUCAUCGGCCGUUAUUGACGUGGCCGUGAAGAAGGAGUGGUCUGCAUCAUCGCAGGAGGGAGGUGGGACAGCCCAAGACCCGUGCGUCUUCCUGCACUCUAGAUGUUCCUGUGUCAUCUCCUCUAAAAGUAGGAGGACGUAUCCUCAUGGCUAGAAGUUUUUUCUUUUAAUAGAUACCAGGGAAAGAGCUCGUGCAUUGCAAUGGGAGAAAAAAAAUAACAAAUGCUCUUUUUUUCUUAACUCGUGUGUUGCCGCUUAUCAUCCUCACCCUCGCUGGCGGUGGUUUCAGUGCUCACACAACCAUAACACGUUUGAAUGUGAUCAAUCGUAAUGCAUGUCUCUCUCACUCUCGGUGUCUCCCCCCCUCCCUCCCUCCCUCCCUCCCUCCCUCUCUCUCUCUCUCUCUCUCUCGCGCGCGCGCGCGCGCGUGGGCGCUCGCUCGCUCAGAAUAANNNNNNNNNNNNNNNNNNNNNNNNNNNNNNNNNNNNNNNNNNNNNNNNNNNNNNNNNNNNNNNNNNNNNNNNNNNNNNNNNNNNNNNNNNNNNNNNNNNNNNNNNNNNNNNNNNNNNNNNNNNNNNNNNNNNNNNNNNNNNNNNNNNNNNNNNNNNNNNNNNNNNNNNNNNNNNNNNNNNNNNNNNNNNNNNNNNNNNNNNNNNNNNNNNNNNNNNNNNNNNNNNNNNNNNNNNNNNNNNNNNNNNNNNNNNNNNNNNNNNNNNNNNNNNNNNNNNNNNNNNNNNNNNNNNNNNNNNNNNNNNNNNNNNNNNNNNNNNNNNNNNNNNNNNNNNNNNNNNNNNNNNNNNNNNNNNNNNNNNNNNNNNNNNNNNNNNNNNNNNNNNNNNNNNNNNNNNNNNNNNNNNNNNNNNNNNNNNNNNNNNNNNNNNNNNNNNNNNNNNNNNNNNNNNNNNNNNNNNNNNNNNNUCAUAAAAUUUCACAUAGUUAAAAUCGGAGUUACUGUGUAAAAGAUAUGGAUAAUUUAGUAACGCAUUUGUUUUAGAUGGACCGCGGAUUCAUUUUAACCAUAGUUAUGGUCUCUCAUUUUUUAAUAAAUAUUAGUAUUUAUAGAAAAAAUAGCAAUGUAACUCUCAGUUAGAAAUUUCAGAAGUACUACGGGCAUCGACAACAAUUUGGUGGUUAUCGUUGCUACCGGCAUCGACAACAGCACUCGUAGUCAGUACAAAAUCAUGGACGCUCGCGACGAUUAGCUCCUAAAAUAAAUCACAGUCGAUCAUCAGUCUAUCUCUCCUCCUGGUCCCGACUUGACGACGUUUCCGAUCUUUUCAUCAGCCUAAAAAAGCUGGAUAAAGAACUUAGGACUACGGGCCGAGAAUGUAUGGGUCGGCUUGGUUUGCACGUACGUAGGAUGCAGCGAACAUAAAAUAAUAUCAUUGAAGCGAAAGAAACCAAGAAUAUUACAUCUCUUUAGAUAUAGAUUGGUAUGAAGUAGUGUGCAUAUAUCAGUUAGUAAUUGUGGAAGCAAUUUCUUACAUUGUAGCCAGAAUCUAGAACGCGGCUUAUAUGUGUGCUUUCAUAUUAAGAACCAGCUGGCUAGAACAUAGUGUGCAUAUAUCAGUUAGUAAUUGCGGCGCCGGGAUGUUCGCCUGGAACAGGAGACAGGACUCCUGUUCGCACAGCGAACGUCGGCCGAAGCCGUUGGCCGCCGCCUCGUCUCCGGGGAAACGCUCUGCAUGGCGACAGGCUCAGGAGAGGUAGAGAGCGAGAGGGAGGGGCUGGGCGGCAGCGCUCGGGAGAGGUAGAGGAAGUGGCUGGGCGGCGGCGCUCGGGAGAGGUAGAGGGAGGGGCUGGGCGGCGGCGAGGGGUGGGGCUGGUGUGGGCACAGGCGAGUGAACGCGUGCGAGGGAGGGAAGGCGUCGGCGCGCCGUCCCGUGACGCGCCGCCCAUCAGGAAUCAAUGGCAAGGCUGACCGACGGCAGCCUUGCCAUUGAUUCCCCGCGGGAACCGAGGCCGUUGGGGGAAGAUGAGGCGCCGUGUCGCUGACGCGGUUGGCCCGCUGUUUUUUCGCGCCAAAACAGCUCGCCCCGGCGCCCCCGAGCGCCCCCAGCGCGCCGGGUUAGGCCUGGGUCCGCCGGCGCGGUUUUCGGCCCAGGCCGGCGAAAAUCGGGCUCCUGAGGCGUGACUGGGCCGUUUUUUUGGUGCCAGCGCGAGAAAAUCGUCUUGGGAGGCCUUCCUAGGGCGCGGCUGGAGAUGCUCUAAGCCACUGGAAUCAGGAGGAGAACAAAAAGUGACACUGUCUAAUCAAACAAACACUUACUGAUAAAAAAAGACUCAAAAAAUUGUUCCUGUGGUGUUGUCGUGUCGUCAAUCCAUGCACUGCAAGGACUGCACUACUAUCAGCUCGAGAGAAGACCUCCCACUUGACGACGUAUUGUUACCUAGUAGACUUGAAACAUGCUUUCGUCACCUAGAAAAAGAGUAACAGUCGUUGAGUUAAAAGCUGCAAAAUUUUGGUGUAAAUAUAACUGAACAAAAGCUUAUAAUGAAAUAAGGAGUUAAAACAUGAACAAUGAAAAUAUUAACUUAGAACAUUAACUGAGAGUGAAAAUAAGGUCUUAGAAACUGAGGAAUUUACAAACUCAAUAUAGCAAAAUGAAAAGUACACCCUCUGUUUUUAAAUAUAAGACGUUUUGGCAGUUUAAAUUAGACUGCUAAAACAUCUUACAUUUGUGAAUGGAAGUACUCCGAGUAAUUAAUUCACAAAACCUCGGUGUACCUCUAACUGCAUAAAAAUACUAAACCAAUAAAUGAUGAUACCCUAGGCUGAUGAAUAAACAAAAAAUAGUAAUAUUGAACUUAACUGGAUCCCUAGAUUGAAAAUAAACUAAAAUGAAGAGGCUUAAAUUCAGUACAGUGCAGUCUCAAUGCUGCAUAUUUGCUACCCCCCCCCCCNNNNNNNNNNNNNNNNNNNNNNNNNNNNNNNNNNNNNNNNNNNNNNNNNNNNNNNNNNNNNNNNNNNNNNNNNNNNNNNNNNNNNNNNNNNNNNNNNNNNNNNNNNNNNNNNNNNNNNNNNNNNNNNNNNNNNNNNNNNNNNNNNNNNNNNNNNNNNNNNNNNNNNNNNNNNNNNNNNNNNNNNNNNNNNNNNNNNNNNNNNNNNNNNNNNNNNNNNNNNNNNNNNNNNNNNNNCCGGCAUCCUGCGCUAGCUCCCCCACUGGAGAUAAUGACCAUAAAAAGUGAAGACUAUAAAAAUGAGAAGAUAUAAAAAGUGAAGACUAAAAUAAAAUAUAACUUAAAAACAGAGAUCUCUGAAUGCUAAACAUGAUAUGAGUAGGAAAUAAGCCUGGACAUCGACUAUGUCGUCUUUACGCUUUCGCAUUUGACAUAACAACCAUCGACUAUGUUGUCUUCCACUUUGCUUUCAAAUUAGCAAAACAUAAACCUCCUCAAGAAACAAAAUAGAAGAAGUAUCACCAAGCAAAUAUCCGCAAAGUUUUAACACCCCAUGCUAGUUCCUCCAAUUUAUUCCUCAUAAGGAUGUCACUGUAGAAAAAAGAAACUUUAUUUCCUUGUAGAUUGAAUGUUUGUAGUUGAUGCGCCGCCCCGCCCCACGAUACAAACAAGAAGUUACAUCGACAUUAAUAAACAGUAUAACAUAGUGAGUUAGGAGCCUCCAUAGUGUUUUAAGUCUAUGAACCAUCGGAUCACUCUAAUGUACGAUUUAAAUCAGCUCAGUCGGCUUCAGGUCAUCACACAUUCAUGCACCGUUUCGUGGGCCGCUACUCCACAGAAUGAGCUUCGGAUUAUGUCUGUAAUCGGGCUGUCAAAGGCCCGGGUCCAGGCGAACGUGCAUGUUUACAAGCCCGAGUUUUCUUUUGGCAGGUCUAUUCCUCCGAAACUACUUCUCUAUUCCUUCGUCUGUGAUGCGCCGCCGCCGUCCUCCGUCCCGUCGACGAGCUUCUGCUCCGGGCCUGCCUCCCCGUCGAUGACCUUUACAUGCCAUGUAUUGUCCUCGGCAGGCCCCUUCUUUCAUGUUUUUAAUGUCAUGUCCUGAAGCAUUCCUUUGUGGCAGCUACGACUGCCGCCCGUCCGUCGGCGUCCAUCGUCGGUUGUCCUCCUCCUGCAUCCGCCUCCAUCCCCUUUCCUUUUUUCCGGGUUCUUCCUGUUGCGUGUCCGUGUCAUCCUUUUCUUCUUCCCAUUGACCUUCACCUUGGAUCUUCUUGUUUCAGGAAUUCUCGAGCUCAACGGUGUGAGUUGCUCUGCUGGGUUUGGAUUUGGCGUGAGGGCCACAUGAUGCUGCAUCUUCUCGAUUCCCCAUGUAUGACGCCCCACCCAUUUUCCUUUGUUUAUUAUGCUUUGUUUUCUUAGUUUAUAGCAGCAGGAUCAGGGGCAAGCUUUGAUGCAUCUUCGGUGAUGGACGAUGAUUGAGCGAUUUUGGCUAGAGGAGAAUUUACUGUGAUUUAGAUGUAAAUGAGGUUCUGAUCUGUAUUUUUUUUGGGAAACAUCAUGGGAGUUUUAUUAAUAAUUUGCAGGAUUUCAGUAUGCUAACACAAGAUUUAGAAAUAAAAUAAGGAGAAUGGUCAACUAUAUGAAAAAACAAUUAAACCAAUGUCUCUCAUAAUCCUCCGUUGAAUUGUAAUGUUUUCACGUAUGUAAGAACCUUUUUUCAGCAAGCUGGAAGAACUUUGGAAAAUAUGUUGACACAUUUUCUUAAUUUUCCACUCAAAAUUUGCGCUAUCCAGUGUGGUAAAUUUAGGAACUACUCCUACUUUACAGAAGUUCUAUUAGCAGUGUUGGGUAACAUGGAUUGAUAGGUUCUGGUGCCCAAGAAUUCACAUGCAGCCACUUCAUGGUGCAUUGUUUAGAAGCUAAAUUUGGCAAGUCAGAAACAUCAAUUAAGCUUUGAACGGUAAGUACAAAAUUCGAGAAUGAAGGCAAAAAAGAAUAGCUGCAUUGCAAUGGUAAUACUCGGAGUUCUGGUNNNNNNNNNNNNNNNNNNNNNNNNNNNNNNNNNNNNNNNNNNNNNNNNNNNNNNNNNNNNNNNNNNNNNNNNNNNNNNNNNNNNNNNNNNNNNNNNNNNNNNNNNNNNNNNNNNNNNNNNNNNNNNNNNNNNNNNNNNNNNNNNNNNNNNNNNNNNNNNNNNNNNNNNNNNNNNNNNNNNNNNNNNNNNNNNNNNNNNNNNNNNNNNNNNNNNNNNNNNNNNNNNNNNNNNNNNNNNNNNNNNNNNNNNNNNNNNNNNNNNNNNNNNNNNNNNNNNNNNNNNNNNNNNNNNNNNNNNNNUCAUUAUGUUAUGCUGGAGAUGGCUUGUUUUCCUUUGUACAUUUGAAGAUAAAACAACCCUUUCGAUGUUGGACAAUCACCAGAAUGGGGAGCUCAAUGUAGGGCAAGGUAUAUUUAAAAAAAAAAGAUAUACAAGAUUAGUCCAAAGAAUCAUUUUUUGCAAGUAACCUAUUUAUAUUAUUAUUAUAUUUUUAUCCGAGGUAAACCAAGGACAAUUUGUUCACGAAGAACCAUGUUGGAAGAACCAUUUGUACCCCGUCAAAAGAUGAUAGAAGUAUAGAAUUUUACACGAGAUUAAAAUAAUGUUUUCAUCGGUGAUUACACGAAAUAUAAAGUAGUGUUUUCAUCGGUGAAACCAACUUAUUAAUAAAAGUGUCGGUAUUAUGUAAAAAUGAGCGGGUGCGGCAAUGCGGGCCAUCAUGUUCUAGUGGAUACUGAAAAUCGAAAGGAAACAUCCUCCUAUGUUGUCUUCCUAACUUUUCUUAAAAUUAACACCACAUAACUUCCUAAUAAAUACUUGUAACCAAGCAAUUGUCCACGAGUUGGACAGCCCCCCAUGCUAACCCAUGAGUUCUUUUAUGGUACAUCUAUUUCUGGGAUCGGUGUAGUAUUGAAUCAUCUCAGCAGUUGAUUAUCGGGCUAGUUUUGUCAAAAGAAUAAUUCCUAACCGCGGUGACCAUCCUCGUCGGGUCUGGUCGUUGCCAUUGCCGGUCCUCCCGUGCCCUUCAAGUGGGUGCUCCAAGUCAUCAACCGUGCAUCGAAGCCACCAGCAGGCCACGGAGCGGUCGCUACAGCAUCGUAAUCAGCGGUGCCGUCACCGCUGUAGCUCCCUCUGAGGUGCCCCUGCUGCGUCUAGCGGCCCCGCGCGUGCCAUGGCGGUCUCAACACAUUGGUGCGUGGUCCAUCCCGAACUGUGUGCUAAACAAUCGGCUGAUCACGUACAUACUGCAUCCGGACAUGAUCAAUCAGUUUAUUUUAUAUAUGGUGACAUCGGGACAUGAUCAAUCAGUCAAUGGUUUCCGUUGCAUCUCAGCUCGGCAGGAUCGGUCCCUGCAGUUCCGUCAGAGCAGGAGAGCAAAACACACAGAUUUCUCAAUGGGUGUAGAGUUUUGGUAUCUAGAGCAUGUACAACCGGACUUCUCUACCCGUCCCAAGUGCCGGACACGCUGCCCGGUCAGUGCCCGUACAAAAAAAUGCCAUCCAACCGGAUGCCCCAUAUACGGUCCAAAUGCCGGAAUUACAGGCCCCAUAUCCAGCCGAUAUGGUGGAUAUCGCGACGCCCUGACGCGUCCGGACACGUUUAACAUGUCGGAUCUGACCCACUAUGGCUGACUUGACUCCACAUAAAUUGGACCCUAUCCGCACAGCGGAGGAAACCUAGCCGCAUUCCACUCCACUCGUAUUCAUAUAGUACCAAGCUCCUCACCGGCGAUCUCCGGUGUUCUCGUCCAUGGAGGCCACAGGAUCCGACUCCAAGAUGUCCGGAUCCGAAGUCUGGGAGCUCAUCCCGUGUAGCCCCGAGGAGCAGAUGGCCGUUUGGGAUGCUCUGCGACGCUUCCGGGGGGAAUGCCCUCCCCCGAUAUUCCCCGAUCCGAUGGUGGAUCUCUGCGUGUGGCCGAGGCCUCGCUGGCGGCCACAGGAUCGGAAGCGGUGACCACUGCUGUGCCGCCGGAACCAUUUACGUGGCUCCUCAACCCCGAGGUCGGGCGCCAAAGCGGAGGCCAUUUGCGCCUCCAUGAGUAACCGCCAAUCCGAAAUUUAGGCGCGAAAAUCCCUCCCCCAAGGUUGCGGGCGCGACAUGCAGAGACGGCUUCGACCCCUCGCGGUGGAGGCAACUUGUACAAUGCUCAAGGCGGAGGAGACAUUGGCAGCCUACGACGUAGAGGCGACUUCCUUAGCGUCGGAGGAAGCACUCUAUGCCCGCAUAGCCGAGAAGCGGCGACAGCAGGCGGUGAAGGAGAUGGCAAAAGAGCAAAGCCAGGCAAUCCGUGCCAUGGCCAAACUAUCCCCCAAGGAGGAGAAGGCCGAUGACGGCAGCAGAUCGGACAACUCCGGCAUUGAGCAGAUCCGCCUCAAUCUGUUCUUUGUCUUCGAGCACUACUGCCGCACGGAUGACGGAAAGGGCAAAGGCAAGAGUAAGGGUGGGUGUGGAUGAACUUCUCCCAUUGUGGCUGAAUUCAUAGUUAGUAGGGCAUGUGAAUUUGGUAGUUCGAUGACAUGUAUUUAGCUACGUUCGUAGGUUGCAUAAGAACAGUAUAGAUUAGAGGAUUCGGUUUGAUAUAUCCGGCUGUGGAGAAAUUUCUUUGUGUGUUGAACGGUCACUGUCCGUGGACCGGAAUUUUGUACUAUAUGUUGUAGAAGCUCUUAUUUUGUAUAUCUUUCAGUUUUACGCGUCAACAAAAGAUAGUACUGAUUUUUUACUAGUAGUAUUGAUGAAUCUGGUCUAUUUUCUAACGAAUAUUUUUGAUCUAUUCAUCUUCAAUCAUGACAGUAUAGCGAACGUCAGAGAUAAUAGAAAUUACAUCCGGAUAUGUAGAUCAUCUAAUGACGGCUACAAGCACUGAAGCAAGUCGAACGCCCGUUGUCAUCGCGCCUCCCUCGCAGGAUCCGGGCAAAACAUGCUGUAGUACGCAGUCGAGAAGUCGUCGUGCUAAGGCUUCAUAGGACCAGUGUAGAAGAACAUCAACCGCCGUCUAUGAAGAGUACUGUAGAUUGAAAGGUUCCAAUCAAAAGUCACACGAAUGUAGACGACCUAAUCUAGUCCAUUUGAUGGCUGGAAAUGGAUGUCUCGGAAAAAACUCUUCUAGAAAGGGUCAGAUAGUGAAAUUUUAGAAAAGUUUAUUUUGUGCUAAACUUACCCAAAAAUUUAGAACAGUGAUUUUGGCGUCAAUUCAACCAAGUACGAAUGAUGACCCAAUGCUAGUAUUUACUGGCCCUGCACAUGGUUUUCAAUUUCAGUUUCAAAAAAUUUCAGCACCAACCGAAAUCACUGAAGUUUCCAUUCAGCCAAAUGACCGAAAUAUUCACUUGAAUUCAAUUGAAAAUUUGAAAAAAAAUAUUUGAAUUCCCGUGCUGUACUGAAAUUUCUGAAAUAUUUUGGCUGAAACAUAAUAUUCCAAUGUCUACCAGAAUUACUGAAAUUCAGUUAAUUUCACUGGAAUCUCGUUGAAAGUGAAAACCAUGCCCUGCAACGACUGUGAUGACAGGGUCAUGUCGGUGGUGCCAUGGCACGUAAUCAUCAGACAAUGCAAGCCUUGCUGCUUUGUCCUAGCAGAUUUGGCACCUCGGUUUUCACAGCAAGAUCAUUGGCAGAGCUUGAAGUCAAUUGUUGGGCAGGCCAAAAAAUAAUAAUAACCUGUGGACGGGUGUUCUAAGGUCCAUGAGUGAAAAAAUCAGCGUACAUAGUCUAAAAUGUUGGACUGGCCAUGGGCCCAUCUAGCCUUGCCAUAGCUCCGCUUGGUGAGCAAGAUGUCAGUAAAAUCAUGGAUCUUGACUGGACAUGUGCUGUGAGUAUCUAUAUCUAUAUUUAUUUAUUUAUGUUGUAUUAAACAAGCACACAUUUUCUUUUCUAUGUACACCCUCACAAACGAACAUAGACAAAUCAACACCAUGCGAAAUUCUACAGCUAAGAUGGAUCUAAUACACCGUAAUGCAGUUUCAGCAAGUCCUGCGUGGCAUUGGAAUACGGGGUGCUGAUUUCUUUGUUGACUUUAUUAGGAUGUGAUGUGAUUAGUUUCCUUCUUGUGAGUUAAACCUGAAUGGCUUGCGUCAUAUGAUACACCAUAUAUAGUACUUUCAUAUUUUUUAGGAGGGUAGUUUUUUCAUGUGUCACGAAUAUGAUUACUGUGGUGUUGCUGUAUAUUUUUUAUAUGGUUAGUUAUUAAUUUUCUUCAUUAUUCAAAAUACUUGUAACCACUAAGAUUUCAUUAUUUUUAUUUACCAUCAAGCAAUAUAUAUUACUGUUGUUUGUUGACCCCCUUGAUCCUUCACUGAUAUUUUACCUAGGCAACUUCACAUGAAAUUAGGAUAACUUAAUAAGACUCUGGCAUCUUUUUCGAAUUUUCUUGCUUUAUACAUGAACCUAUCAUCAAGAUUUCGAUCUCUUAUAUGGUGCAUGUGCUGCUUUAGAUAUGUUGGUGUUGAUUUGCAGUAAGAGGAAAUGUAGUAUUGUUCUCAUCAAUUUCUUUCAUACCAUACUUAAUGCAUUACAACAUCAGUUUCAUUGGGUUGGAAAAGGUGUUAAGAAUGUCACCAUUUUUACUUGAUGCUUCACUGGGAUCAAUUUCGAGUUCGUCCAGGUUCUGAAUAAUUCUUCUGUUUCCGGGCAGGCUACCAAUCUUCAUCAACGAGGAUGGGGUUGUGGUGGCGGAGACGGCGUUGCUGGAUGACGCUGUGAGUAUAGUGUGUGGGUGUAAGUACAUCCGUCCGUGCUAGCAAUAGCAUGCAGCGGGUCUAUGGACGGGGAAAGCCACGCAGAGAAUGCAGUGUUCAUGGCGGCCGAGCGGGAAGGGGGACAGGCAGCUUGCCAUGAUUGAAGAACAUGAUGACCGUGCAGGUACAGGGUCAGUGAUGUUGACAGGGAAGAUGAACCCUCAUGUGCCUGGGUGGAUGAAGAGUUAAAUGGUUCGAUUUUAUGUGCAUAUGCUUAUCGUCAGUGAGGAGUGGGUGAUUUGAUACAUUAACAAUAAACUGAAUGUGGGAAUCAAACGCAGAGAAGGACUUGGUGAAAAAGCUAAGGCAAAAUAACAUCAAUGUCGGAAAAGUGUAUAGUAUCAUAUGAAGUUUAUUAGGGGAUAUCCAAAAGGUCCCAUUUACUAAGAGGUCCCUAUGUAAUCUAUGUGGGAAGCUAAACAAAAAAUCAAGCCGAAGAUGACAUGCACAAGACAAUUGAGGUGUUUACAGAUAUGGCGGCCAAGGAUCCAGAGUUUGUUUCCAGAGUGCAGCCGGAUGCUGAGUGUGGGAUUAAGUACCCGUUGUGGGCUACCGGAAGGAGCAAGAACAAGUACAUUUAAGGAGAAAAUGGGCAAAGCCGAUCUAAAUGGAAUUUUCUGUGAAAAAUGGUGAUCACCCAGAGGAUCCAGAGUGCGAACAGCCUGUUCAAAUCUUAGGUGCCGCCGGACUGCCCGAUGCUGAUGUUUGUGAAGCAAUAGAUGCGUUUGCAGUUCCACAGGGAAGCAGACAAGACCUACGACGAAAAGUGUAUGAAGACUCCCAGUGUUUCGAACUGUAAAUAUUGUAAUAAAACUUCCGUCACUUUUGGUGCUGACAUGGUCAAAAUAUGUGAACAACUGUAGGGGGGUGUUGUAGUGUAGUGCGACAUGUCCAUUGAACAACAUGCUAGCAAUAUAUACACUAGGGUGAUGUUUGAGCAAUUCCGCAUCCUGAUAUACGAGGCCCAGGCAAGUCACAUACACAUACCUGCACCUCCCUCCGUUUUUAUUUGGUCCGCAUAUUAGCUUUGGUCAAAGUCAAACUCUAUAAACUUUGACAAAGUUUAUAGAUAAAAAUAUUAACAUUUGCAAUAACAAAUCAAUACCAUUAGAUUCAUUAUUGAAUGCACUUUCACAUCAUAUAGAUUUGUUAUUGUAAAUUUUCAUAAUUUUAUCUAUAAACUUGGUCAAAUUUUAUAAAGUUUGACUUCAGUCAAAUCUGAUAUGCAGAGUAAAUAAAAAUGGAGGAAAGUUGGCCAUGUUUUGCUUGUGUCCAUUUUCCGGCAAAUCAGGGAAGCUGACAAGUACCUCUGAUUUACUAUUUCUCUCACAUACACAACGUGCACCUCCAUAUAUCUGAAUAUCGAUUCCCUUCCUAAUCAUUAGUUUUGGGCCUUGUUCACUGCAUAUACAGAUAUACGACCAUCUUAUAGAAAUAUGUUGUUUAAGGAUGAAGAGGUGGACAACUUUUUGGCUUUAGUUAUUAGAGAAGACACGUUCCUAUGUAAGAGAUUUAAGGUCAAUUAUCUCCCCUUGUUGUAAUGCUCAUCAUCUUACUUCAGACAUUGUUAUAUAUAUCCACCAUGGUUCACGACUAUACUUUUUCCAUACGUAUUUGCAAAGUUUGUCAGUAUUACUAUGCAGAGAACUCUUGUCAUGGUUCUGCAUUGUUGUGUUCUUUCAUUUGUCAAUUUCUUUUGCUUUGAAACAAUGUUGAUUGGCUGAAAGAAUGGUUAUGCAUGGCUUACACGCUUAUACCUACUUGAAUAUUAAAUUCUAUUAGCAAAUCCAUUAAGAACGGUGUUAACGUUUUACAUCUUGCUACAUGAAGCUGUGUACUGCAGGGAACAGUGUUACCAUUUCCAGUGGACAUUGACAAUAAAUUGAAGAUGUACAUUUCUUGAUUGGAAAUAUUAUACCUUCAAUUUAAUUCAAUUGUGGAUAUAGUGACAACUUUAUGCCCAGAAUAACAAAUGAUUAUGUGAGUUAUACAUUUUAUGAGGUGUAGGAAUUGGGACUGGUGACAACAACAUGUGGAGCGGCGCAACAAGUGGUGCUGCGGGGGUACUGGAGCCAGGGUAGUCAGACAAAUCCAAUGUUGUGCACAUCCCGAUGUACAUCUCGGGAGUGGUCCAAUCACGGACUGUGAUCGCCCAGCCAAUUCCUGGCAUCGCCCUAUUUGGAUAAGAGGCAUGUGGGUUCAUGAAACAAUCAACAUGUCUUUAUGACUUGAGAAUAGGAAUUCUACGCAGUUUGCAUCAAAUUUGAAAUUCUUAAGAGAGAUAUUUUAUGUUAUGAUAGAAUAAUUAUGUUUCAUAGUAUAACAUGCUUUUAGUCGAGACGUGUGUUGCACGUGCAUGCUUACUAAUAUAAUAAGCAAGCAAUGUGAUCUCAUCUUACUUAUUCUGCUACUACUAUUGUUUUGUUUGCUACCAAUCAAAUUGAACAAGCUGACCAUGGUUUGCUUGUGUUCAUUUUCCUGCAUCUAACCAGGAGCGGCGCCAGAUGCCACACACUCUUCAGCGACAGAUAGCUUCUAUGAAAGGACACUCCACCACGGCUGAUUUGCAGCUCUGCCUGUACGCCUCCUGCUUAGUAAAAUAAUCUUCUAAGAGCAUGUCUAGCUGAUCCCCUAAAUCCGGUUAGAGGAGUAAAGUUUUACUUCUCUUACCGGCACCUAGCCGAUCCCCUAAAGUCUAAAGUGGAGUAAAAAAAUACUCCUUGGCCCCGAUGAUGCCUAGAUAUACUCGGCCUCAACCUGGCCGAAUAAAAUUUCUGUACUCUUUUCGACGCCCCUCCUCCCUCUGCAUUGUUGCCGAGGCAGCUGACGACGACUAACCACCACCUCCGCCGCUACCUUGCCGCCUCCCUUGACCCUCAUCGUCAUUCUGCCGGUGUCCGAGUCAUUUGCCGGCUGUUCGCCAUCACCAUAAUUGAGUGGAAACGCAGCCGCCGUCGCAUCGACCAUUUCACCGGGAACCACCUCGUAUCCUCUUUCUCAUUUGCUAACCGGCAUCAAUUUCCAAACCUGAAUGUACUUUCUAGAUCACCACUGUUUGCUAGGCUUGUUGUGGGUGAUACUACUCCUUGCAACUAUACAGUCAAUAGUCAUGAUACACGAUGGGUGCGGAUGACAUCUAUCCUCCAUGGGCCACAUUUGUCAAAACAAUUUUGCAACUAAGGUAACAAAAGUUCUCACGUCGCAACACGUCAAGAUUCUAGUAGGAAGGAUGUUGAGAGACCUUUAGGUGUGCUUUGCAAGCGCUUUUCAAUCGUUCGUGGUACUGCCGAGUAUUGAUAAUCCAAGGUUCUAUGGUAAAUCAUGACUUGAUGCAUCAUUUUGCACAACAUGAUCAUUGAAGAUGAGAGAUUAAUGCCUGAGAACUUUUCAAAUCUCUUGUCAGAUACACCAUUCUCUGCCUUCCAUUGCAGCAAUUCUAGUGUGGUACCCAACUUUUUCUUAUCAUCUUCACAAUUUGGGUACAACAAUUUCUUAUGAUCCUCUAAAAUGCGCUGCAACUUUAACUUCNNNNNNNNNNNNNNNNNNNNNNNNNNNNNNNNNNNNNNNNNNNNNNNNNNNNNNNNNNNNNNNNNNNNNNNNNNNNNNNNNNNNNNNNNNNNNNNNNNNNNNNNNNNNNNNNNNNNNNNNNNNNNNNNNNNNNNNNNNNNNNNNNNNNNNNNNNNNNNNNNNNNNNNNNNNNNNNNNNNNNNNNNNNNNNNNNNNNNNNNNNNNNNNNNNNNNNNNNNNNNNNNNNNNNNNNNNNNNNNNNNAUUCAGGGAACCUAGCAUAGUUGUCAUCAUCUUCUUCUUCAUUCUGUUCCAUUAGAACCUCAUUUUCUCCGUGCUUGGUCCAACAGUUAUAGCCGGACAUGAAACCGGACGUAAACAGGUGGAUGAAGGACUUUUGAGCUGAGUAAUUCAUAUCAUUCUUACAGACACCACAUGGGCAAUACAUAAAACCGCCAUGCUUGUUUGCCUCAACUGCACGCAGAAAACUAUGCAUGCCAUUAAUGAACUGGGGAGAGCAUCGGUCAUCGUACAUCCAUUGCCGACUCGUCUUCAUUACACAACACCGAAAAAACCAAAUUAAUAUAAGUUCGUACAUAAAGUUCAUACACACUUAUUCUCAUAAAAUAACAUACACCUAUCUAGCUAAAGCAUUUAAAUGCAACAGCAAAUGCGAUCAACAUCGCAACUAAGGUAAUAAUUGAUCCAACAUCAUAAUGAUACCAAGCCUCUUCAUUAAUGGCAUAUUUUCUAGUAUUUUUAAUCUUCAAGCGCAUUGCAUCCAUCUUGAUCUUGUGAUCAUCGACGAUAUCGGCAACAUACAAACUCCAAUUUCAUCUUCUCUUUUUUAAUUAUUUUCAUUUUUUCUUUCAAAUACUCGUUUUCUUUUUCAACUAAAUUUAACUUCUUGACAAGAGGGUCGGUUGCAAUUUCCAGUUCACAUACCUCCUAGAUAAAUAUAUCUAUGUCAACUUGAUGGGCAUAAUUGUCAUAAACACGAAAUGCAACAAAUAGUUAUAGAAGAUAUUAUACCACAUCCGAAUCAUAAAUCGGACGAGGGCCGACGGGGACGGAUAUCAAAACCAUGGCACUACGUAUAACAAACAAUCAAACAAGUAAGAAAAUUAUACAAGCAACUAUCUAAAUCAUACAAAUGUGCUUUUUCUUUCACAAAAAAAAAGAAUAAGAGAAAGAGCCUCACCAAGGUGGUGCCAGUGACGGGACGGUGCGGGCGAUCGAUGGCGGUGAGGACGGGAAGGCACUAGGUAAACCACACCUACACAUAUGCAAACUAAGAUGUUAAUUGGAGCUCAAAUUACAUAUAAAUCAAAUAAACUCCCACAUAAUUACUCCCAAAUAAAAAUCCACAAAAGACUAUACUUAUAGAGCAUGAAAUGAGCUAAACUAGCAAUAAGAGAUGAAAGGACAAAGUUGCUAACCUUUUAAACACUUGGAUAGAUGGGGUGCCUCAAAUCUUGACAAAUCUUGGCAACAAUGGAGGAUGAGCUCGCGCUAGGGGGAAGGGAACAAAACAGAGAGAAAGGAGAAUGCUUAGACUCGGGUUGGAAGAAGGAUAUAGGGAUAUCUUUAGUCCCGGUUGGUGACACAAACCGGGACUAAAGGUCAACCUCUAGUCCUGGUUGGUGAUACCAACCGGGACUAUAGGGGCUCGCAGGGGCCCAGACUGACGCCAGUAGGGCACCACCCCCUUUAGUCUCGGUUGGUAUCACCAACCGGGACUAGAGAUGGUCGUGGCAUCGUCCGCUCCUAGCCAUUGGAACAGAGACAAGUGGUCCCAUUAGUCCCGGUCCAAAACCCGGCCGGGACUAAUGCUACAGACGAAAGACCUGUUUUCUACUAGUGACAACACACACUAAAAUUUCGCGGACUAAAAACAAAGACAUAUAAUACCAAAGUUUUCCCUAAGAGUAGGAAGAAAAAAUAAAAACCCAAAGUAAUGACGAUGUACAACAGUGACCAUCCGUGCCAACAAUCUUUUACAACACAAGGACUACCAGAAGGAUUAUCAAAAAGUGAUACCUCCAGGAGGGAAGCAACAUACAAGGCUGCCAUCCCUGGAUGCAACCACUGACGGUCAGAUCAUGGUUUUUCACCUUGAACAUUAAAUCUGAGAAAAAUCCGAGCUAGGUUUAUAGAAAACUACCUAGUCGGUAUUUCGAUGCAAAAAUUGCCGUGUUUCUAAUAAUUUUUUUGCAGAAAGCACUGAUGGCUUACCUUGCUGCGUUUAAUCGCAUUUCCGACAGGUGGGGCCAGUUCGUCAGGAGCUGACUUAGGCAAAAAGUCGCCACAUGUGCGCAUUGACUGAGUUUUCAUCCUUCUCCUUUCCCGUUCUAUCACACAUUUUAUCAAACACAUGGUGUACGUGCACUGAACGAGGUGACCUAGUUUUCUUGUGUCCAUUUUCUUGCAAGAUCGAUGGUCUGCAAUAUGGGGCCAGUGGCGGUGCCACAGUCUUCAGCAGGUAGCGUCUCUGCAAGGACACCCCACUCCUUCCACAGCUGGUCACCGAGCUCUAGCUGCUGCACGCCACCAGCCAGAUUCAGUAAACUAAAUCUGUUGAGCAGUACUGAUUCUAAGAUUAGUCCCCAGAGCAAAGUAGUCAUCACCCAUGGUUGCAGAUAUAAUAAAACUACAUCUAACUCUUGCAUGCAUGAGUGAGUGCACAAAUCUCACCAGAAACAAAUGGAUUGCUAUUUGCUGUGAGAGUGAGCAAAAAUUCCCCUGUUCUGAGAGAGAUGUCUGAGACAUUAAUCACUCCAAGAUACUGCUGCUAAAGAUGUAGUGAUCGAUCGGUCUCGUGAGCUGCUGCUGGGGAAAAGAAGAGUCGCAAUCCAUUCCUCAACUAAAGCUAGUGUGAAGAGCGCACGGUCUCCAACCAGCUGGAAUCUUCACAGGCCCAUCAUGAAGAUCCAAAGAUAAGCAAGCACUGUAUACCGGCGUCAUUGCUUCAUCCAUCCAUCCAUAAUUCCGUAUACAGACAGCACAGCACAACACCUGUCAAAGGUGAGAAAGUCCCCUUAAAAACAAGUACUAGUAAGUUUCCUCUACACGUUUUGGCACUGAUUCCAGAAACCAUUAGCGUGAAUACGUUGUUUCUGACCAUAUCAGGGUCGUUUUAUCAUGCAUCACGUACUACACCAGACAUGGGUCGGCUAGGGGAGGGAAUUAAUAUAUACACGUCCGUUGCUUUUUCUCGUUGCGGCCUUGAUUUCAUUGAUUAUAUGUAAUGCUUUUGUGCUUAUUGGUAUUUAGUUCAAGGUCGCCCCAUGGCACAUUGAAGAAGAAUAGUUCCGGCUCAUGGGUAGGGAUGACAGUUUUGCUCAUCGGUAUGGGUACCCGCGGGUACCCUACGCGAAAACAAUGGGUAUGGGCAAGACUUGAAGAGAUUUUCUACCCACUGGUAAUGGGUAUCCAUACCCGCAAAAUAUAUGGGUAGGGCAUGGGUAAAAAAUUGAGCCCAUGGAUAACCCAAUGGAUACCCAAAAAAAAUUUAAUAAAUGAAAAUAACGCCUAUAACAUGUGGGGUUAACAUCCAACUCAUAUGGUCCAACCCUAAAUCUCGUAUUCCUUAAACAAGUCAUAGCUCAUAGGCUUAUAAUCACCUGCUCGCCACUCCUCAUACGUCCUAUGUGACUCCUCAAAAAUAUGAAAUAUUGACUCUUCGCUACCAGACUCUUGUCAAACACUUGAUCCAGCGAUCCCCAAUCCCCACCACCGCCUUCCACUACGUCAGCCUUCCACCAACCGCUGCUCAUACUCCUCUGAUGCCUCCAAGAGGCCGCCCACUGGAGGAGGCCACAUACGUGCUAUACUACUCUACCACGAUCACUUGAAUUUUGAACUCAUUUUUCUACCUCUUAAGAAUUUAAAUGCUAUUUAUUGUACCCAAUGGAUACCCAUUGGGUAUAGGAUACCAGAUGGAUACCCAUUGGGUAUAGGAUACCCGAUGGGUAUGGGCAUGGGUGUCAGUCUAUAUCCAUGGGUAUUGAAGUGGUGGGUAUAAACAGUUUCUAUGGGUAUGGGUUUGGGUAGAAGGAAGUUUUACCCGUCCAUACCCUAUCCAUUGCCAUCCCUACAUGGGGGGACAAGCGAGGUCGACAUGCUUGCUCUGCCCAGCGCCGGCCCUAGAGGAUGGACCAAUAAUCAGUUGUUAGCACUCCUUCACAAAAUUGAUAAAGAUACACGAGAGUCUCGCAAAAUUGUUGGUCUCAUGAGAGUCCCGCAGCUUUAGCGUGAGAGGAAGAGUGCCACAGUGCGGUGCAAAAUGUUAAAGAACAUGAUAGUAACACGACCUUAAUUAAUAUGGAAAGAGGGUUUUGAGAGGGACUAAAGAUACACGAGAGAUUGAAGUUGUGAAGAUUCACAUGCUAAUAAUCCUCAUGAUAAGUAGUUUAUUUAUAUCUUGAAUAUAGGUUACAACGGUGCCCUAAAGAGUAAUGACUAUAUAGUUUUGUUUUCUGAUUAAUAUGACAGUCUCAACAUGUAACUCCAACCGUAAAGAACAAGAUAUACGCUACUCUUUUCUAUUUUAGUGAACAAAUAUUUCAG